Molecule: long non-coding RNA, 58860 nt
Filed under: Populus trichocarpa (black cottonwood)
Lineage: Eukaryota; Viridiplantae; Streptophyta; Magnoliopsida; Malpighiales; Salicaceae
Description: long non-coding RNA (PTRI_LNC004307)
Rfam family: MIR478 microRNA precursor family (bases 19801-19890)
Source: RNAcentral
AUUUUAUUUCGAACUCGAUAUUUUAAAACAAAAAUGAAAAAGAUGUGAUAUUAACCUUUUUUAUUAUAAAGUAAGUUUCUUAAUUAAAAGUGAUGGGAAUUUGUUUGUAAAAACAAUCUUGCACAUCUAACUUUCUUUUCAAAUUUGAAAAUUUUAUUAACUUUGAUGGUUUUAUAUGUAUGAAGGAUCUGGAUGGACGUAAUAGCACAAGAUCAUUUGACAUAGAGAUGCUUGAAGUUACUCCAAAUUAGUACGGUACUUUUAUCUAAUGUAUUGAUAUGUAUUUGUUGGCUUGAAGAUCAUUUUCCAAGCUUGGAAUUUUUAUUGAAUGCUCUUUGAAAUCUUUUCCAUUUGCUUUUAUAGUGGACAACCUAGUUGUUAAUUAUUAUCCAUGAUCUAAUUUAUAUUUUCAAGUUAAAAAUUUUGAUGAAUAUUAUUUCAUUUUUUUCCUCACUUCAAAAGAUGAAAAUCCUUGAUGUUAGUUAGUAAUAAAUUGGAGAGAAUAAUAAUAAUUUGUGUGUAUAAGCUGAUUGAAAUGAAGAUUAAAAUAAAGAAGUAAAAAAAAAGAGACUCGUAAAGAUUUUAUGUUAGUACUCAACAUGUCCUUUCUUGUUUUUUUUUUAAUUGGAUUACCUUUGUCUUUGGUUAAACUGCACUUCUUAAAAUAUUUUUGGAUUGUUCUGAUAUCAAAAAUAAUUUUUUUUAAAUAUUAUUUUAAUACAUUUUCAAUUAAAAAAUAUUUUGAAAAACAAUAUCUAACACACUCUCAAACAAGUUAAAACGUUAGUAAUAAAAUAACUUUUACAUAUUUUUCAAGUUUAGUAGAAUAGUAGUGGAAUAAUAUUUUUAAUAUUUAAAAAUUAAAAUUUUUUGUGUAACUGUUUUGUUAAAUUAUAAAGUUAAGGACUCUUUUGUAGUUUACCUUACACUAAAGUUAAUAAAUAAUAACACAAGAAAGGACCAAAGUUAACUACAAUACGAGGAAGUUUCAUACUAAAGUUAAAAUACCUCACACUUUUCAAUGAAACAUUACCUCUCCUGUACAUGAAUAUAAAUAAUUUCGUUGACCGACUCUUAUUUCAUUAAUUAUUGAUUAUUUGGAAGAAGAAAGCGUAUCCCUUCUCACUUUUAGAGCGUAUUUAGGGUAUUUAAGAGCGCAUUAUAAAUCCAGGGACAAUUUUGGGUUUUCUAAUCAGAACUUUGGACUAAAAUUAAUAGCAAAUUAAAUAAGGACCAAAUAUAACAGUGUGUAAAUCUAGAAACCAAAGAUAAUACAGCUGCAUUGACCGGAGAUUUCACUCGAAUUUUGACUAAAAAUUAAAAUUUUAUCAAAUUCUCUACUUUAUUAGUGUUCAUUUUCUUCUUUUUUUUUACCUAUCUUUUCCAACUGUUUAGAAAAUUUUUAUGGAUAAAAUUAGAGGAUAAGAAAGAGAUAUAGAAUCACUUUGUAAGAUUUCUAAAAACUUAAUUAUAUUAUAAUUUCUUCCUUAAAAUUAUUCAAAAUAUAGUAUUAGAAUUACAUAAUGCUAGGUUUUAAUAUAUAAUUAAAGAGUCUCUUCUAAAAGAAAUAAUGAAAAUAUUGUAUAACUCUUUUAGAAUGAAUUGUAAAUCCAGGGACAGUCUUCCUGGUGGUUUUUACUGUAUAUGAAUUGAAGAACUAUCAUUUGCUGAUUUACUUGUAAAGUAUUUGUAAGAAAGCUAAAAAUUAGAGUUUUAAAAUUUCUAAAAUAAAUAAUCUUCUCUAAAAUAAGUUUUUUUUAAUUAUACUUAUAAAAUUAAUUAAAUCUCAGGAUAAUAAGAUAUGUCCGGAUAUUUGGCGACUGANNNNNNNNNNNNNNNNNNNNNNNNNNNNNNNNNNNNNNNNNNNNNNNNNNNNNNNNNNNNNNNNNNNNNNNNNNNNNNNNNNNNNNNNNNNNNNNNNNNNGUAUGUUACAAAUUAAAUAUUAGUAUAUUUUUUUCAAGGUGAUAUCUCUUAUUAAAUCAGAGAUUCUCUCUAUUUUUUACAUGCAAUAUAAUCACGGAAUAAUUAAAUAAUUUGAAAAAUAAAUAAAUUUUUAUUGUGGAAUAAGUAAAUACUAAUAUCUAUAACUAGAAGUAACUAUAAUUAUAAUAUUAAAAAAAAGCAUAAUAAAAUGAAUUUAUUUAUAAAUUAGAUAAGAUUCAAACCAAGGGAAUUAAAGUGUAAAAUAAGGAAAACACCCUUGCCAGUCUAAAAUAAUUGAAGUAAUGAGUAAAUGCAUGAAGCAAGAUAAUUAGUUGAUAUUGUGACUAUUCAAGAUAAUUAUAAUCUAUAGGUAAUUGUAUACUAUAAAUUAAUAUCAACAAAAUAAUUGUAUUUAAUUGUUUGAAGUUAAACAAAAAAACAUACAUUCUCCCUUUCCCUUCUUUACAUGGCUUACUCAAUGAAAAAGCAAGCACUAACGCACCUUCUCCACAAACUACCAUAAAUAUAUAAAUAUAUUAUGAAAACAAGAUAAAAAGAAAUCUUUUGGUACAUAUAUAAAUAUAUUAUGGCUAUGAAAAUAGGUUUGUGGAAAUUUACAUCAUUUGAUCUUGACAGUGUCAGAUUAGACAAUUGAUUGCAUGGAAAUGGUCUUCUUAGUUUGCCGUGUGGAAAAUCAUCUCAUUUACGGGACUGCUGGAGAGAGUGUCUAUUGAUAAUUUUACCUUCUUUUCAAAUCUUUGACACUGCUUGGAUUGACCGGUAAUUUCACUCGAAAAUUUCUAGUAAUUUAUAAAGGAAAUUUCUACUGACUAUUAUUGACUGACUUCUUGCAAAGUAUUUGUAAGAAAGCUAAAGAAUUAAAGUUUUUUAAUUUUUAAAAUUGUAAGAAAAAAAUCAAUUAUUUUUAAAAUUGUUUUCAAAAAUAAAACAUCAACUAUUUAUAUAAUUGCUAAAUCUAUUAAGAUAAAUCCAAAAUAACUAGUAAAAUCAGUGACUUGCAUUGACGAGUGUAAUGAUCUUGACAGCAUCAGAUUAGACAAUUGCAUGGAAAUGGUCUUCUUAGUUUGCCGUGUGGAAAAUCAUGUGAUUUACGGGACUGCUGGAGAGAGUGUCUAUUGAUAAUUUUACCUUCUUUUCAAAUCUUUGACACUGCUUGGAUUGACCGGUAAUUUCGCUCGAAAAUUUCUAGUAAUUUAUAAAGGAAAUUUCUACUGACUAUUAUUGACUGACUUCUUGCAAAGUAUUUGUAAGAAAGCUAAAGAAUUAAAGUUUUUUAAUUUUUAAAAUUGUAAGAAAAAAAUCAAUUAUUUUUAAAAUUGUUUUCAAAAAUAAAACACCAACUAUUUAUAUAAUAGCUAAAUCUAUUAAGAUAAAUCCAAAAUAACUAGUAAAAUCAGUGACUUGCAUUGACGAGUGUAAUGAUCCGGAACCACUCGCAAUAAAUAAAGCCAAAAAAGGCAGACGAGUGUGUCUAUAUAUACAUAUAGGAACCGCUGAUUCGAUUUGAAUAUGUUAUUUGAUUAGUCUAAUUCAUGACUUGCAUUGACUCAAGAUUACCACUCAAGAUUUCGUGGUGCUUUCUCGGCCUGCAAAUGAAUAGAAAGCAUGUCCUUUUAACCUCAUUUCAAUAUCGUUGCUUUACUCUCCAGCUAGCCUGAUACAUAUGAGUCUCGAGACAUACGGCCAUUGAUAGAAAGGUGUGCUGAAGCAAAAUAUUUUUUUAUCUGUAGCGACCUCAAUAAUGUUAAAGCGUGGACCACCAUGAAAUUACCGCUCCAAAUUCCUUGUUCUUUCUAUAUUAUUAGAAAAAUUAUCAUUGACUAAUUUAAUUGGAAAUUAUUUGCGAGAAAGCUAAAAAGAAUUAAAGUUUUUUAAUUUAUAAAAUUAUAAUUUUAAAUUGUAAAAAAAUUCAAUUAUUUUAAAAAAUAAAACAUCAACUAUUUAUAUAAUAGCUAAAUAAAUCUAUUAAAAUAAAUUGAAAAUAACUAGUAAAAUCAAGCAAAUAAUCCAAAAAUAACAAGAAAAUAAAUAUAUUUCCUAGAUCUAAUUUGAUUAUAUUUUUUAUCUUGAUUGACUUACUUGCUAAGUCUUUGAACUUUAAUCUAAGAAUUUGUUUUAUAUUUCUUCAUUUAUUAAUGAAAUAUUACUUCUAUUGUAUAGUUUUUGGUUUCGAGUCGAUCCACCAGAUUAAUAGGUGAACAAUACAUUUUUUGAAUUUAUUAGAAGAAACGUGUAAUGUAAAUUAUAAAAUAAUAUUUAUUUUUCUGAUAUAUAUAAUAAUAAUAAAUUAGAUGACAGUUACAAGAAAAUAAAAAUUAAUUUGAAUAGAUGGUACGAGUUUCUAUUCUGAUAUAUCCAGGGAAGAAGUUCGAAGAAUAGAAUGAAGUUAAAUAUUCUUAAUAAAAAAAGAAAAAAAAAAGAAAAAAAAUAUAUUUUUAAUAAAUAUAAAAGAUGGAUAAAAUUAGAGAACAAGAAAGAGAUAUAUAAUCUCUUUGUAAGAACUUCUAAAAAUUUAAUUACAAUUGAGAAUUUCUUCCUUAAAAAAAUCCAAAAAAAUCCUAUUAUAUAUGAAUCAAGACAACAGUUGAAUAACUAUUACAUAUUUUUCAAGUUUACUUAGAAUAAUUAUUUUAAUAUUUAAAAAUUAAAAAAAUACUGUGUAGUUGUUUUGUAUAAAUUCUAAAGUUGAGAACUCUUUUGUGCUUGGUAAAAUGAAUAACUUUUACAUAUUCUUCAAUGUUUCACACUGCUUUAAUAGAUUGGUACAGUAAAUACCUCACACUACAGUUAAUAAAUAAUAACACAAGAAAGGACCAAAGUAUAUAAAUAAUAGCAUGUUUCACACUGCUUUAAUAGAUUGUUACAGUAAAAGCACAAAGAAGAACGGUUCAAGAUGUGGUAGAAUCACCUUCGAAGUGACUAAAUCUGCUUUAAUAUAUUUGAGAUUCACGCAAUGCCACUCUCAUCGGUAUUCUAAAAGCGAAGAGAAGAGUAGAAGCAAUGUGAUAGCUAUACAGGUGAGACUUAAUAAUUUACAGGUGAUAAUUGUUUUUUAAAAUAUUUUUUUUAUUUGAAAAUGUAUUAAUUUAAUGUAAAAUAAUAAAUAAAAUUUAAUUUUUUUUAAUUGUUUUUUAAAAUAUAAAAACAAAGAGGAUAUAAUCAACCUCUUGAUGUCACUAUUAAUUAUUGAUGUCGAUUGAUGCACAUGCUAACACCAGCGAAGAAUUAAGAGGCCAAUAUGCCAUUUGAUGCGAUAUUGCAAUUCAACAGCCAAGACACCACGGCUGAUAGAUGUAGACAGCGGUAAUGAACAGGAAAAGUUAAAAAAAUUAAAAUAUUUCAUGUCUUCACAGUCGUUUAGAAAAGAAACAAGAUCAAACCUUGGUUUCAUUUUGUCAGUUGACUCCAAGUCAAUGUCUAAAUCUCCUCUAAAUUCCAAACUGGGUCACCCAGCGAAUUAAGGUAUAGAUUUUAUUGGACGACAAUCAUAUUAAUAAAUAUGGGACGACAAAUCACAAACAUAAUCAAUUCAACCGUACUCCAAAGAACACUCAUACUCCAAUAUCAGCAACCACCACGAAGGUUGAAUUACACUACUUGUUAAAUUAAUAAAGUUACUAGUUGCUAUAAAGUAAGAGAUAAGAAAAUAUUGUGUUUUAAAAUAUUUUUGUUUUAAAAUAAUAUUUUUUUAUUUUUAAAAUUUAUUUUUAAUAUUAUUACAUCAAAACUAUAUAAAAAAAAUAUUUCAGAUUAUCAAUUCAACCGUUCUCCAAAGAACACUCAUACUCCAAUACCAGCAACCACUACGAAAGUUACCACUCUAAAUUCCAGCUCAAUAAUUUAUUCUUUGACAAUUAUUGCAUUGCUAAUAAUUUGCAAGGAAACAUACUUUUAACUAUAUUCAAUUCCAGAAUAUUUUUUUUUGAUAAAUAUUUGAGAAAUAUUGAUAAUCUUUUAUCAAGUUUUAUUUUUAUCAUUUUUAUUUGGAAUUAAUUCUAUUAUGUAUUUAAAUGUGUUUAGUUACCUUGUAAACUGUAUGUUAGAGUCCCUCAAAUAUUCUGGCCACAUCAACCACUAUAUUUUAUGCCAAGCAGUAUUUUGUCCUUGAACCCUUUGGCCCUCUAAAUUACCCAAAAAGGACAAUAAUUGAGCACAAGUGGUACAGGUCAGGGUUAAACUCAGCUUGCUAGAGCCAGUUCUCAAUUUUAGGCGCCAGUUCUCAAUUUUAGGCACCAGUUCUCAAUCGAAUUUUAGCAAAAUCUGGGCUAGGAUUUGAAACAAAUGUAGCUAUUUUUUCUCCUUUUAUUAUUAAAAAAUAAUAUUCAUGGAUUAAUUUUCGUAUAAUUUAAGAAAGUAAGUCCUUUAAUCAAAUUUUAGAGUGUUGCAAUUACUACGAAAGGAACGCAAAAAGACAUAAAGUUUUUCGAAGAGAGAAAUAAAAAGGAAAAGGAAAAGGAAACAACCCCCACUCCAUCUUUCCCUUCUUUCCAUGAAAAUCAAUUUUAGGAUUUUGAUUUUCAAUCAGUAUGAGUGAGAAAGAAAGAGAGGACAAGCCGACACUUCAAAGGUCCUCUUUCUCUUUCCUUGCUUUUUUUAACGCGUGGAGCCAGCAGUUGUUGCCACCAAAUUCCUUGCUCAGUAUUUGAAAAUUUUCCUAAUUUUUUUUCCUCUACGUGCUGUUACCUUUUACCUCUUUUAUAAUUAUUAUGAUUAUUGCAUUGCUAAUAAUUUGCAAUAAAGAUGAUGAACAUUUUUUAGUCAAUUCAAAAUAACAAGAUAAGGUUUGUUCAGGCUUUUCUUGGAACCUCGCUCAGGGAUUAGUUAGCGAGAAUAAGAAAAUGCUGUCCAAAUUAUACAAAAUUUAUUAUUAAUCAUCAAUAUUUAUUCUUGAUCAUCAAUAUUGAAUAAAGGCUUAUUUUCUAGUAUAAACUUUGAUGAGAUUGUUUAUAAAAAUAACCAAAUUGAGGUUUUUCAAUUACCUUUAAAUAUAUCAUAGUUUUAAUAGGCACACAGUAUAUUUUUUAAUUUAUUAGAAAAAACAUGUAAUGUAAAUUAUAAAAAAUAUUUAUUUUUCUGAUAUACAUAGUAAUAAUAAAUUAGAUGAUAGUAACUAGAAAAUAGAAAUUAGUUUAAAUAAGUGGUACCAAUUUCUAUUCUAUAUAUCUACGGAAGAAGUUCAAAGAAUAGAAUGAAAUCAAAUAUUCUUAAUAAAAGAGGAAAAAAAACACAAAAAGAAAUAAAAUAUGUUUUUAAUAAAUAUAAAAUAUGGAUAAAAUUAUAGAACAAGAAAGAGAAGUUAGAUACCUCAAAUUUUAGUAAGGAUCCAAUUGGAUUGUUUAAAAGAGGAGAAACUGUCAUUGACUGAUUUAAUUGGAAAGUAUUUACAAGAAAGCUAAAAGAAUUAAAGUUUUUUAAUUUUAAAAUUAUAAUUUAAAAUGGCAAGAAAAAAAUCAAUUAUUUUUAAAAUUGUUUUAAAAAAUAAAACAUCAACAAUUUUAUAAUAGCUAAAUAAAUCUAUUAAAAUAAAUUGAGAAUAACUAGUAAAAUCAAGCAAAUAAUUCAAAACCAACAAGAAAAUAAAUAUAUUUUCUAAAUCGGGUUUGAGUAUGUUUUCUAUCUUGAUUGACUGGCUAACUUGAUAAGUCUUUAUUAAGUGUAAAUCAACUUUAUUCUAAAAGUCUGUUUGAUAUUUUUUUAUUUAUUAAUGAAAUAUUAUUUUUACUAUACAGUUAUUAGAUCCCAGGCUAAUCUACUGGGUCGGUUUAAAUUUAAUAACUAUGGUUCAUAGUCAUAUAGCUAGUAGUUGCACUAAAGCUAAUAAUUUAAAAAAAAUUAAAUAUCAAUAAUUUUUGUUGGCAUCAAAUAAUUAAAAAUGAGAAUUUCAGAGCAGAGGGUUUAAGAAAUAUUAAAAUAGAAGGUUUUGUGUAAUUAUUAGAUAAUUGAAAUCAUCACUAAUCUCCUUUGUUCAUUUUCCUUUUUUAUUACCCUUACCAUGCACAAAACUUCAUGUCACUUAAUGAUACACUUGCUUUCAACGUUUAAACUGUUAAAGAAUAAUAUAAAUUAUAUUAUGAGAUCUUACCUAACAGCUUAAGUUAUUGGGUUGAGAUGGUUCUUUGAUAUGGUAUCAGAGCCUUGAUGAUCAAGCGGUCACGAGUUCGAAUCUCACCAUCUCUAUUUAUUUGAUAAAAAUUAAGCACAAAGUAAUGUGGAUUUGUGCAAGUUUUAAGCCCAAAUGGCUUUCACUUGAGGGAGUGUGUUAAAGAAUAAUAUAAAUCAUAUCCUGGGACCUUACCUAACAGCUUAAGUUAUUGGGUUGGGAUGGUUCUUUGAUAUAAUAGCAACCAUCAUGAAAUUACAACACUAAAUUUAUUCUUUAGCAAUUAUAUAAUGCUCGCUCUUUCACAGUUAUUGCAUUUCUAAUAAUUUGCAAGAAAAUUAACAUUCUUUGUCUCUCAAUCUGCACCUACCAUGAAAUUAACAUCCUUUCUCGACAUUUCCUAGCAAUUUAUGGAGGAAAUUUCCUUGUGCCCUCUCUUAUACAUUAUUACAAAAACUGUCAUUGAUUGAUUGACUUGCAAAAGUAUUUGCAAGAAACCUAAUGAAUUAGAGUUUUUAAAAUUUUUAAAUUAUUAAAAACAUCCAAUUGUUUUUUUUUUAAAUCAAGAAUAAAACAUCAACUAUUUAUAUAAUUACUAAAUAAAUCUAAUAAAAUAAAUUGGAAAUAACUAGUAAAUAAUUCAAAAAUAACUAGAAAAUAAAUAUAUUUUCUAUGAUUUGAGUAUGUUUUUGAUUCACUAAUUUGCUAAGUAUUUGCUAAGCAUAACCGAAAGAAAUUAUUUGCUAAUCACUCACUAAUUCAUCCAUGAUAUGUUCAAAAAAAUGGGUUAAAAAUUGGGUAACAACACCAUAUCUAUUUUAUUGAAAACCCGGGCCUGUAAUUGACCGGAAGAAAACCGAUCAACCCACUAAGUAGAUCUGGAACCUUGAUGACCCAACAAAACCUGGUAGAAAUUCAUUUUUUUUUCAAAUGUAUUUUUUCUUCUAGCUAGAGACCUCUAUUUUUUAUAUAUUUUUCAGUUGGUUACUAACCCAUUUCAAAGUUUACUAUAUAAAUAUUAGAAGAAUGUUUUAUUUUUUUAAUGUGGGAUUUGAAACCUUUUAGUAUAUAUACUCUUUGUUUACUAAAAAAAAAAUUAUGUUUUUUUAAUAUGAAAUAAAAAACCUUUUUGAUUUAAAUACUUCAACUCAAAAAAAUAAGAUAGUAUCUUUUUAAUGUGGAAUAAAAAAAACCAUUUGAAAUAAUCUUUUAAACUUCAUUAUUUAUAACAUGUAUAACUUAUAUCUUUCUUAAUUUUUUCAUAUGAAAUAUUAAAACCUUUAAUAUUUUUUUUUUCUUGGUUGACUUGGAUCAAUCCUUGUAACUCGAGACUCAGCUCCUUGAUUGAGUCGAUCUCGAGUCGGGUUUGAUAAUUAUGAAAAUAUUUAAUGAAAAAAUAUAUUUUUUUUGUAUAAAAAUGAAGGGUAAAAUAUUAAAUUAUGACAUAUAUCAUUAAUUAUUGACAUACUCUUGUAACAAGCAUGAAACUUUAUGUUAUUUCAUGAUACCCAUGUUUUUAACGCUUUACACCGCUUUAAUAAAUUGUUACAGUAAUAGCACAGAGAGAAGAACGGAUCAAGAGAAAAUAAUAAUGUAACCAUCUAGAAAGUGAUGCAAUGAUAAGAAUUUGGAACUAAAGAGUUUGUUUUUUUUUUUUUUUUCAGGUUCGAGUUUUGUGGUUGCUAAUAUAAUAGUUACUGGAGAUUUACAUGAUCGUUAACUUUAGGACUCGUAAGAUUAGUUUCGAGUUUUGUGGUUGCUAAUAUAAUAGUUACUGGAGAUUUACAUGAUCGUUAACUUUAGGACUCGUAAGAUUAGUCAAGAUGCAUGCAAACUGGACUGGAUACCUACAGGAAUCUAAAAAAAAAUAAUAAUGGAGAUGAAGCAAAAUCUCUGUUUGAUUUUUUCUUUUUUGUGUUUUUGGUACAUUGGUCAACAAUAGCUUGGAAGACUUUGGUAGCAGUAAGUAACCUGUUCUUCCUCAAUAAUGUUAACGCGUGGACCCUGUUGUUGUGGAAACUUUGCAGAGGAUCUUAAUAAAAACAAGUAAAUAGAAAAAUAUUAAUUUUUAAAUAUAAAAACUAGAAAACCUGAUAAUAUUGAAUAAAAAAUAAAAUAAAAAUUUAUUCUUUUCAAGUAGAAAAAAAAUAUAAAAGUUUAACAAUAUUGAAUAGAAAUAAAUAAAAUUUUUAAACUAAAUAAAAAUGAUAGAAAAAAAUAUUUAUUAUCUUAAAAAUUCUUAUAUUAAAAUCUUAAUUUAUCACAUGAACUGAGUCUAUAUGCUAAAAUCAGAAGAAAAAAAAAAACAAAUGUAACAAAAAAAAUUCUACACAACACAAUUAAUUAUAGGAUCGUAUAUUUCGAGACUAAAUUGAGGUUUUUGAAUUAUCUUUAAACAGAACAUGAUUUUAAUAGGUGCACUGUAUAUCCUUUGAAUUUAUUAGAAGUAACGUGUAAUGUAAAGUAUGAACCGCGUACCAUUAACUAGCCUUUUCAAUUGGAUUUUUUAUUUAAAUGAAAAGGAAAUUUUGUUUUAUUAUGAAAAUAAUAUUUAUUUUUUGAUAUAUCUAAUAAUAAUAAAAUAGAAAGUAGAUUGAAUAAAUGAUAUCAGUUCCUAUUAUGAUAUAUCUAGUAAAAGAAUAGAAUGAAUUAAAAUAUUCUUAAUAAAUAUAAAAGAUGGGGAAAUUACAUCACACGAAACUACCAAUAAGCAAAUUUUAAUCUGUAAUUAUGUAGGUCUUAAUUACAAGGGUUUUAAUUUAGGAAGUAUAUUAAAAAAUAAUAUAAAUUAUAUUCUAGAAUUUAUUUUAAUAGUUUAAAUUUUGAGAUGAAUUAAUAAGUCUUUACAAAUAAAAGAUAUAGUUUUACAAUAAAAUGCAUUUUUAGAAAUGAAAUUAUAUUAAAUUAAGCGUGCUCGAGAUUGUUCAAAUUAUUAAUUAAUUAUAAUUAACUUUAUGUCUUUAGAGGAAACAAAAGGGAAGGACAAAAUUAUUUUCCCCUCAACGAUAGACCUAGCCCACUUUCCAAACAAAAGGUAAAUAGAAUGAUGGUCUCAUAAAUUGCUUUUUUUCUUUCUAGCUCGUCAAGCAGUUUGGUCUCCCUCACUGGAAAAUCUCCUUUUUCCCUGCCUCUGUGCACGUAGGGGAAGAAGGAGAAUAGUAUCGUUCAAAAUAUCACUGUUUUGAAAUUUUUUUUGAAAAAAAUAAAAUGAAUUUAGGAAUAAUUUAAAAAUAGAUUAUGAUAUUUUCCAUCACUUUUUCUUAUCAUCAACUUCAAUAUGUUGCUUCUUUUUUAAAGGUUUAACACUAGAAAGCCUUUUUUUUGUUUCAUUCUUCAAAUCUUAAUAACAAACGUAUGUAAUAGACAAUUGAUAGUGAAAUGAAAAGGUUAAGGAAGAUGAAAUUGUAAGAAAAGAAAAUAAAUUUAAAAUAUUAUUAUGAAAAAAACAAAAAACAAUAAAAAAUAUGGACCAAAACUUAAAGAUAAAAAAAUUAAAGGUAAAAUUGAAAAAUAAUUCUAGUUUUAUAAAUUAUUAAAAAAAGAUUUCAAAUAUUUAAUGAUGAAAUCGAAAAAUAUUAACUUUAAAAAUUAGCCAGAAAAAUUCAAUAAAUAAUAAAAAAACAAACUCAAGAAAAUCUAAAUCAUUUAUAAAAUUAGUAAAAACUUCCACACUAAGUAAACAAAUAAAAACAAAACAAAUAGAAACAAGGAAGUAAAGUCUGUAAUUAAAUAUAUACGCGGAGACAAAAACAUGGGCAUGUGACAGGAGACAAAAGGGCAAAGGAAGGUCUCUAUCCAACUUCCUUUUCCUUUUUCUUAGAAAAAAAGUGACAAAAUCUGAUAGAACACAGAUUCCAUCUCUUUUUCAUUGGUUUUUUUGUUUUUUUAAUGUUUAUGCAUGUGGCUCAACCUUUCUCAGUAAUUGCAACAUGUUUCUUUGUUGAAUAAACUGCAAUACUGGUCUCCCUCACUGGACCCCUUUAUAAUGAGAAUCACACUAGGAAAUUUAAAAGUAAUUUGAAGUAUUAUUAAAGCCUAUAAAAAUAAAACUGAUAAUAAUAUAGUUGGGAUUUUAAAAAAAAAAUUGAUAAAAAACCAUAUAAAAAGAAAUUUGAAACAAAGUAAUCUUAAAAAACCAAAACAAACAUGCCAUGAAAACAAAUUUAAAAUAAACAAAAUACUUUAAAAAAAAAUAAUUCAACCAUUUCUUCAUAAAAAAAACAGUAAUUGGGUGUUACUUUAUGGUCAAAAAGUACAAUAAUGCAAAAAAAAAAAAAAAAAGAGUUUUAGGAUAUUGAUUUUAUUAUUUGUUAGGUAACUAUGUAAUCUAUACGUUGAUGUGGAAAAUAGGACUAAGUUUUUUUGUCAAAAGAGUAACUGUGUAAUCUAAUAUUCAUCUCUCAAAUCCCUAAUCCAAUUGAUCAUAUAAUUAAAUAAUUGUUUUAAUUAAUAACUAUAAGAAACAAACUCCCUUGUUAGUUCAUUACUUAAAUAAAAACUCAUGAUUGUCUAGCAAAGUAAAUAAAUUACUUAACCGGAUCACCAGAGGAGUUAUUUGCCAAAAUAAAAACUCAUGAUUGAGUUAUAUAACAGUUUAUAAAUCAUGCUAUCAUCUCCAUCACCAUAUAUAAAGCUAGACAAAAUAGGAUAAGACGGGAUUAAAUUUAAUUUUAGGAUAUAUUUGAGAAUAUGAUUGAAUCAUGCUUUUUAAAAUGUUUUUGAAUUAUUUUAAUAUGUUGAUGUCAAAAAUAAAUUUUAAAAAAUAUUAUUUUAAUAUAUUUAUAAUAAAAAAAUAUAUUUUAUAAAGCAAUUUUCACCAUAUUUUCAAAUAAAUUAAAAUUUUUCAAAUAAAUGGAUUGAUAUAUCGAUGACACUCUCUAGUCAGUUUUGAGAAUUUUGAAUCCAAACAAGUGAAUUUAUAUGCAUGCUUGUACAACUUGAUUUUCUCUUUAAUUUAAUCAACAAUAAUUUCUCAUACUCAAUAGAAAUUUGGGUUUAUCAUUAGGGUAAGACAACCUGUAUUUUAAAAUACUAUUGCCAAAAGAUCAUAUUAUUUAUUACCACAAGAAAGGACCAAAGUUAAUAAAUAAUAGCAUGCACGAAACUUCGUGAUACCCAUGUUUUCCACGUUUAAUAGAGUGUUACAGUAAAAGCACAGAGAGAAGAACGGUUCAAGACAGAACAAUAAUGUUAACGCGUGGACCCCAUUUGCUGUUUUUUCCUCUACGUGUUACCUUUUACCUCUUUUACCUCUUUUAUAAUUAUGAUUAUUGCAUUGCUAAUAAUUUCCAAGAAAGAUGAUGAACUUUUUUUAGUGAAUUCAAAAUAAACAAAAUAAGGUUUGUUGAGGCUUUUCUUGGAACCUCGCUCUGGGAUUAAUUAGCGAGAAUAAGAAAAUCCUGUGUAAAUUAUACAAAUUUCCUUGCUUUUUUUUUCCUGCAUGUGUUACAUUUUUAUCUUUUAUAAUUAUAAUUAUUGCAUUGCUAAUAAUUUGCAAGAAAGAAUAUUGUUUCUCUGAAAAGAAGUCUGAAUGUUUUUAGAAAGAAGCAGUCUUCAUUGCUUUUCAAAACCAAUCUCUGGAUCUAUUAACAAAAACUCUAAAUCGCGAGUAAUAGACACAAUUAAUUAUGCAUUGCUGUAAUAAAAUCACGUAUUUAUUUUCAAGUGGGAAAAAAUUAAGCCAUGAGGCCAGGGGUUCUUUGGUCUUUACCUAUUUUCGUUUUGGCCACCGAAUUUUAUUUUUUUUUCAAUAAAAGAGAAGGUUUUGUGUAAUUAUCAGAUAAUUGAAAUCAUCACUAACUCCUUUGUUCAUUUUCAUCUUUUUUUAUUACCCUUAGCAUGAUACACAGAAAAGAAGAACGGUCAAGAGAGAAGAAUAAUGGAGAUUACUGUGGAGAUGACGAAUCAAAAUCUUUGCUUGAUUUUCUGUUGUGUUUUUGGCACAUUGAUCAACAAUAGCUUGGAAGAGUUCGAUAGCAGAGGAAGAAAAAUAAUAGCAGUAACCUUUUCCACCUCAAUAAUGUUAACGCGUGGACCCAGUUGUCGUGGAAACUUUGCAGAGGAAGAAAAAUAAUAGCAGUGACCUUUUCUACCUAAUAAUUUGCAAGAGAGAAUUCUUUCUCUGAAUAUAUAGAAAAAAACUAUUAUUUUUUAAUAAAAACAACUAUAUAGAAAAAUUAUUACUUUUUAGGUAGAAAAACCUCAUGAUAUUGAAUAAAAAAAUGAAAUAGAAAAAUUAUUCUUUUCAAGUAGAAAAAAAUAUAAAAGUUUAGUAAUAUUGAAUAGAAAUAAAUAUUAAAAUUUCUAAACUAAAUAAAAAUAACAGAGAAAAAUAUAUAUUAUCCUAAAAGUUCUUAUAUUAAAAUAUUAAAAAGAACUGAGUUUACAUGCUUUAAACAGAAAAACAAUAAAAAAAACAAAUGUAACAAGAAAAAUUCCACGCAACAUAAUAUAUAUGAUAUAAAUUGAGGUUUUUAAAUUACCUAUAAACAUAUCAUAAUAUAUAUGGUACAUCCUUUGAAUUUAUUAGAAAGAAGCCAUUAACUAGCCUUUUCAAUUGGAUCUUUUAUUUAAAAGAAAAGGAAUAUUUAUUUUAAUAUGAAAAAAAUAUGUAUUUUUUAUAUAUAUCUAGUGAUAAUAAAUUAGAGGAUAGUAACAAGAAAAUAGAAAUUAGAUCAAAUAAAUGAUACCAAUUUUUAUUCUGAUAUAUCUAGCUAAAGAAUAGAAUGAAUUAAAACAUUCUUAAUAAAAAAAAAACAGAAAGAAAUAAAAAAAUAUUCUUAAUAAAUAUAAAAGAUAGGUGAAAUCAGAGAACAAGAAAGAAAUAUAGAAUCUCUUUCUAAGAUUUCUUGUUCCCUUUCCCUUCUUUACACGGCCUCCUCAAUGAAAAAGCAAACACCCCAUUUGAUUUUCAUUCAGUAUGAGAGUGAGAAUGAGAAUGAGAAUGAGAGAGAGGUAAUUUCGACUAUACAUAGAACUCGACAGGACAGAAGACUUAAAGAUAAAAUAGCUUUGAUUUACAACCAUGGCUUCAAGGGCCUGGAAUAGGACCAGGUACAAGUUUGUUUCUAUCUAAGAAAGCAAGAAGCUCCCACUAAUGCAUGCUCUCAACAAACUACCCCCAAUUUCGCCACUACAGCUCAAGUAGCUUUGAGUCAUUCCAACAAGUAGGAAUUGAAUUCAAAGGAAUAAAUCAUUAAAUGCGGAGUUGGUGUUCUCCUGUUUGUGGUUCUGAUAAAUGUAAGAACGGACAGAGAGAAGAAAUAGGAAAAAUCCAUGUAUCUAUUAGUUGGCAGCAGUUAUCAUUCGGCCCUUGCCGCCCACGAAAUCCCUUUAUCCUGCUGUUAAUUUUUUUAAAGACGCGUAUCAGGUGUUUGAUAAAAUUCCUCAACUGGAAAAAAAAACCAUGUUUAGAAUGCUUGAGUCCUUUACAAGUGGAAAGUGGGAACUAUCCACUUUCCCAUUUGAAAUCAUCACUAACUCCUUUGUUCAUUUUCUUCUUUUUUUAUUACCCUUAGCAUGAUACACAGAAAAGAAGAACGCGUGGUUCAAGAGAGAACAAUAAUGGAGGGGAAUCAAAAUCUUUGUUUGAUUUUAUGUUGUGUUUUUGGUACAUUGAUCAACAAUAGCUUGGAAGAGCUUGAUAGCAAUAACCUUUUCGACCUCAAUAAUUAAUGUUAAUGCGUGGAUCCAGUUGUUAUGGAAACUUUGCAAAGGAUCUGCAGGAAGAAAAAUGAAAAGCUUUUCGAACCUACAAUAUAGAGAGAGAAAUAAAUAAAUAAAAAGCUUUUCAAAACCAAUCUCAUGCCAAAUUGGUUUGUCUGUCCAGUACUUGAGCUUGCACACUUCGUUUAUAUUCAAACAAUAUUCUUCCGUUGCUUUUAUUCUUUACAAUAAUGUGAUAGGAAUAACAUUAAUAUUAUUAUAAAGAAAAAACUCCACCCACUUUGAAACACCUUUGAUGUGUUGAUUGAAAUUGACAAGUGAGUUUACUCACAUGUUGUUAUAUUGGUUUUGAGUUCAAAUAUGGAGAUUUUAUGAUUUAUUCACAUGAAUGCAUUCAUUUAUUCACCUAUUAACUAAAUCAUGUAUUCAAUAUGAAUGAUGGGAGAUUUUUAAUGUCUUCUGAAUACAUUCAUUUAUAUAUGAAAAUAAUUUAUGUGUGUGUAUAAGGUUAUUGAAAUGAAGAUUAUUAUCCUCCAGCUCAUCAUCAGAUCACACGAAAGGAACGCAGAAAGACAUUCCCUUUCUUGUCAUAAAGUUUUGAAUAGAAUGCCCAUCAAAAAGUACUUUCGUGCAUUAUUGUCAUAAAGUUUUUCAAACUUCCAAUAUAGAGAGAGAAAUUAAAAAAAAAAAAAAAGCAAAAGGAAACAACCCCCACCUCAUCUUUCUUGUUCCCUUUUCCUUCUUUACAUGGCUUACUCAAUGAAAAAGCAAGCACUAAGGCACCUUCUCCACAAACUACCCCCCAAUUUCGCCACUAUAUAAAUAUUAUGGAAAACAAGAUAAAAAGAAAUCUUUUGGUACAUAUAUAAAUAUAUUAUGGAAAUUAACAUGGUAUCAGAGUAUCUGUGAACUAUUGCUGGGAUUGGGAAGUCAUAAUUUUUGACACGCCUAAUCACAGUCUUUUUUGGAAAAAGAAGAAGAAGCCAGGCUAUGAAAAUAGGUUUCUGGAAAUUUACAUCAUUUGAUUUUGACAAUUGCAUGGAAAUGGUCUUCUUAGUUUGCCGUGUGGAAAAUCAUGUCAUUUACGGGACUGCUGGACAGAGUGUCUAUUGAUAAUUUUACCUUCUUUUAAAAUCUUUGACACUACUUGCAUUGACUGGUAAUUUCGCUCGAAAAUUUCUAGUAAUUUAUAAAGGAAAUUUUUACUGUAUAUGAAUUGAAAAACUAUUAUUGACUGACUUCUUGCAAAGUAUUUGUAAAAAAGCUAAAGAAUUUAAGUCUUUUAAUUUUUAAAAUUAUAAUUUGUUGAGGCUUAUCUUGGAACCUCGCUUUGGGAUUAAUUAGCGAGAAUAAGAAAAUCCUAUGCAAAUUAUACAAAAUUUAUUAUUAAUCAUCUAUAUUUAUUAUUGAUCAUCAAUAUUGAAUAAUGGCUUAUUUUCUAGUAUAAACAAUGUUUGAAAUAAAAUUGAUAAAAGAUAGUAUACAUAAUUAUUAAUGAUGGGAUUGUUUAUAAAAAUGACUAAAUUAAGGUUUUUUAAUUAUCUUUUAACAUUUUAUGAUUUUAAUAGAUGGGCUGUACAUCAUGUAAAUUAUAAAAGAAUAUUUAUUUUUCUGAUAUAAUAAUAAUAAUAAUUAUAAUAACAAUAAUAAUAAUAAAUUAGAUGAUACUAACGAGAAAAUAGGAAUUAGUUUGAAUAAAUGAUACCAGUUCCCAUGAUGAUAUAUCUAAAGUCCUAAACUUCAAGAAUUUCUCUUCUUUAUCUUUUGUAUUUUCUCAUUUUCUUGGCAUGCGCGCAGCUGCUUCAUGGAAAAAACGUUUCAGAUGCGGAAAAUAAAAGCGGAAAAAAAAAUCCCAAAUAUCAGCAAACAUCACAAGAGAAGCUUGAUCUCAACAAGAUGUUGCAGUCCACAGUCUUUCCAUUACAUUAUAAUUACUUCUAAAAAAAAUUAAUUUAAUUUUUAAUUAUAAGCCAUCAGCAACUACCUCAAAAUUACCACUCUGAAUUCCAGCUCAAUAUCGAUUAACAUGUGGCUACAGAAUUUGAAUUAAGUUCAAUUAUACAAAAUCCUGUGCAAAUUAUACAAAAUCCUGUGCAAAUUAUACAAAAUCCUGCUUUAAGUUCUUGGAACCUAGCUCUGAGAUUAAUUAGCGAGGAUAAGAAAAUUCAGUGCAAAUUAUAUAAAAUUUAUUAUUAAUUAUCGAUGUUCAAGAUUUUCUUAAAUGUUAUUUUAUUUUCAUUAUUAUUUAUAAAAAUCCAAAAAAAUUAAGAAAAAGUUUAAAAAUUCAAAAAUAUAUUUUUCUCGAGUCAAUCACAUUUUUCCAUCAAAACCAAGUCCACCGGGUCAAACCAUGUCGACUAGGGUAAAAAAUGAGUUUCGGGUCAAAACCGUCAUUUCCGACCAAAACCGAGCUCACCGGGUCAAUACGGGUCAAACCAUGUCGACCAGGGUAAAAAAUAAGUUUCGGGUCAAAACCGUCAUUUCCGACCAAAACCGAGCUCACCGGGUCAGGACGGGUCAAACCAUGUCGACCAGGGUAAAAAAUGAGUUUCGGGUUGUUUCGGGUCAAAACCGUCAUUUCCGACCAAAACCGAGUCAUUAGGUCAGUACGGGUCAAACCAUGUCGACCAGGGUAAAAAAUGAGUUUCGGGUUGUUUCGGGUCAAAAACUGUUAUUUUCGACCACAACCCGGUUCACCGGGUUGAUACCCAUCAAAUGUUUUUUUUGAUAUUCUAUUUCUUUUUUUGCGGUUGAAACCGGCUUUUUCUAAUACUAAUUUGAAUUUUUAAUUUUACCUAUAUAAAUAUUUAUUAUUAUAUAUAAUAAAACAAAAUCAAUAAUUCAACAAUUUGUCAGCGGAGCAGUUGAUUUUUUUAUUUAAGGUAGAUGGCAGAAGGGAAAGGAAAACAGAAAGAAAGAAAGAAAGAAAGAGAGAAGAGUGUACUAUUCAUAUCUUUUUUAGUUUUUCUUCAUGAGAGUAGGAUAUUGUUUUUUUUUAAAAACAAUAUGGAAAAUAUCAAACAUAUCCCAACCACUGGAUUCAAUAGUGUUAGUUCUGGGCCUUUAAUUUAAUAGGAUACAAUAGGACUUACCACACUAGAUUAAAACCCAAACACAUCUCAGCCCUUGAAAUAAUCUAAGCUUUGAUCCCGUUGCCCCACGUCACCCGGUGUACUGAGAUUUCGGUGCACCGCGUCACACCAGGUCAAACAUCUGCUCAUCCAGACCGUCCGAUCAACCUGCAGAUCGAGCCAAUCACAACCACACGAUCUUUUCAUCAGAGAUCCAACAGAUCACAGGCUUAAGUUGCACCGGUGUAUAGUGCUAGCGCUCACACCGUAGUAUAACCCAAAGCCUCUCUCUCCUAUCGCCGGCGACUCUCUCUCUCCUCCGAUCUCCCAUCUCCGGCUGUAUAAAGCCUCCAAACUACCACAGAAAGGUCGCCAACCUCCUACAAAGCAAAACACCGGCCUUUUUCAGCGUUUUCUCCGCCUUAUCUGGCCGCAAAAAGGCCGCGAUCGUCGCUGGCCAGCGACGCUUCAAGUCGUCGAUUCUCACUCAUCAGCCAUCAACGACCGUCAAGACCACCACCAUCAGAAUCCUCGACAUCAGAUCUACCAGGAUCGACCAUCGGUUGGACAGAAAUCUCACCGGAAAAUCUCGCCGCCGCCAACAGUAACCGCACGUGAGACACGCGCCACCAGUGGCAUUUUCGUAAUUUUUCAAGAAAUCCGAGGGUAUUUAAGUCUUUUACCUGGCACUCAUGUAUUUUUUUUAUCUAACAUUUUUUUAUUUUGUAUAAAAAUUUUCUUGCAUGUAGAAAAAAAAUAAAAAAAAAAUAAAUAUAAAAAACGACGUGGGUCCAACACCCAUCUUAUCAUAUUAUUGGUCGUGGGUGCAAAGCCCAACCUCUCAAGAAUAGUUAUACCUAUUUUUAAUGACAUCAAAAUAUUUGUUUUUAUAAAUAAAUAUUAUUUGUUGACACGUCUCUUUUUAUAGAAAAGGACCGAUGUCAAAAAAAGUUUAAAUACCAAACAAAUAUGGAUUAUGUUUAUAAUUUUGUUUUUUUUGUAAAUCAGACGUAAAUCUCCUUUUUAGGAUUAGACAUCGAUAUUUUAGACGAGUCUUCUAUUUUUAAGGACUGAUGUCAUUUUUAAUGUGUCUCUUAUUUUUAAGGACCGACGUUAACCAUUUUAAAAAAAUAAUAAAAUUACAAAUAAGCUCAAAAUACAAUAUCAUUUGAAACAAAAAAAAAACACAAGUAAAGAUAACUUUUCUUUUGAAAUGAUAAUUUAAGGGUGAUGUCUACCUUCCCUUAAUCAUAACUAACCCAGUACCUAAAUCUCUGGGACCAGUGUCUAAUUUGGGAUUUUUAGUUCCCUCAUAUUACUAGAUGGCGACUCCAAUAAAAUCUUAAUUUCCCCAAUAAAAAAUCUCUUUUUAUUAAAUAAACAAAAAAAGCGGAGCCAACAAAAAAAAUAGAGCCGUCGCCCGACAUUGUGUAUAAGUUUAUAUAAGCUUAUUUGAACUCGUACACGUUAAAGAAUAGUAUUGACCUUGAUAUUAGUUAUAAAUAAAUUGGUUUUUCAGGAAGAUAUUGUUUUAGGUUUAUUUCUUUAUUUAAGCUUGUUGAAUUCUAGGCCUUAUAUGAUAUUAGUUGAUGUGAUUUGGAUUUAUUUUUAAGUUAAUUUGUGUGUGGGUAGUAAUAAGUGUAUAUGAAUAUGAAUUGAAGUAAGUACCUUAACAAAUGUGAUGGGUUGGUGUGAAGCUUUGAUUAAUUGCUAUAUUUUGAUGUCAUGAGCAAAUACCUUAACAAAUUUGAAUAUUUGAAAGAUAAUAAAUAAAUAUUGAAGAAUUGUAUAGAAAGAAUCGUAUCGAAAUUAUGGAAAAUAUGAUUUUGUCCUGAAAUUCUAAAAAACAAUUAUAGUUUGGUCACUGGUUGUAAAUAAUAAAUUUUAAAAUAUUUUUUGAUAAAUAUUGAUGAUUUAUUAUCAAUUUUUAUUGUUAUCAUUUAAAUUUAAAAUUAAAUAUAUUCUGUAUUUAAAUGUGUUUCGUUUCUUUGGAAACUGCAUGUGUUGGGAAAACUAGGGACAACUAACCGGAUCAAUUCAGCGGAAUACAAUUCACAAUUCACAAGUCCCAAUCAUUUUUCCCUCUUUGUGCAGUAAAAACAGAAUCAAACAAUGAACAAAUAUAAUGCAACAAUCACACAAAUCAACGCCAAGAUUUUUACGUGGAAAACCCGAUGCGAGAAAAACCACGGGACCGGAGUCCACCUAAAAACUUCCACUAUCACAAAUAAUGGGUUCACAAUUGUUCUUCCUCAGAUUCAACUAAGGGCUACAACAUAUAUAUAUCAUCAAGAACAACUUAUUCUCGGAUUACAACAAGAUUAAAGAGAGUAAUGUUAGAGAAAAGCUCACAACACUGACAGCCCUGUUUUCUGUCAAAACGACCAGCUUCCACACCACCAAUCUUCAAUCCAACCGUUCAGAAUGAAGAGGAACGUGUCUAGAAGUUUCUGUCAAAAUCUCAGCCCGAUCCAACGGUGAAACAACUGGAAAAUGAAGAAAGAAGACAGACUGCUCUGCUGCCUCCUCUUCUUUCUUUCUCUCGGUUUUCUUCUCCUCUCUUCUCAAAUUUUCUACUACUAUCUACAGUAACCGUUUCAUUUAAUUUAAACCAAAGAGGCAGCCAGCUGCCUCCUUAAUUAAUGUGGUGGUCCCCCAUCACAUGGUGCGGGACCACACAACAGUAUGCUAGAGUCUCUCAAUAUAUUAAAAGGGCUAACUAUAAGGUAAAAUAAUGAUCAGUUUUAGUUAGCUCCUGCGGGACUUUGCAUUCUAUAAUUUAUGCUAUGCAUUCUAUAACCCUUGGCCCUCUAAAUUACCCAAAAAGGACAAUAAUUGAGCUUGGUGAUCUAAGAGCACAAGUGGUACAGUUCUCAAUCGAAUUUUAGCAAAAUCAAGGAUCCAAGAAAUGGCCUCUGUAACAUGGUAGCUAUGAUUUGAAACAAAUGUAGCUAUGUUUUCUCCUUUUAUUAUAAAAAAUUAAUAUUCAUGGAUUAAUUUUCAUAUAAUUUAAGAAAGCAAGUACUUUAAUCAAAUUUUACAUUGACCAUCCUCAAUGUGUUUAAAGUAAAUGUUAAUUACCAAGCUGUUGCAAUUAAACCUGACCGGCCCGGUAGGUUUACUGUUACCUUUUACCUUUUAUAAUUAUGAUUAUUGCCUUGAAUAUAUUAUUUGAUUAGUCCAUUUAUAGGUUGACUCUACUAUUCCUGCCUUGCAUUGACAGUAAAUUUCACUAGAAAUUUCAAGUAAUUUACACAGGAAAUUUCCUGGUGAUAAACCUGGAAUCUGAUUUUCAACUUUCGUAGGCACUAAAGUCCCAAACUUCAAGAAUUUCAGAAUAUCAAUUCAACCGUACUCCAAAGAACACUCAUACUCCAAUAUCAGCAACGACCACGAAAGUUACCACUCUAAAUUCCAGCUCAAUAAUUUGUUCUUUGACAAUUAUUGCAUUGCUAAUAAUUUGCAAGGAAACAUACUUUUAACUACAAGAGUCUGUUUGAUAUUUUUCCAACUUUUACUGUUUCACUUCAAAGUUUCAAUAAUUGUUUUUUCAUUACAUAUUCUUUCCAACGUGUAAUAAUUCGGAACCACUCGCAAUAAAUAAAGCCAGCAAAGGCAGAUGUGUUUGUCUAUAUAUACAUGAACCUGCUGAUUCGAUUUGAACACCCCAUUUCUCCGAUUCAAUAACUUCAGUUGCAAAACUUCUCUCUCCGAUUGCUGCAAUUUCAUAGCUAACUCUUUGUUAUACACAGGUAUAUAUGGCUAACUCUUCUUAGCUUCUUUCUUGUUUUAAUUUCAUGUCUCUACCAUUAACAAUAAUGUGAAAGCUUUGCUUGUUUCAUGUUUAACUUCAGUUGCUAUUGUCCUAUGCUUUCUCAUUAUUAAGCUUAAAUUGCUAAUUGAUUGUUCCUUAAAUUCUGCAGCUGAAAUGAGAGAGUCAGAGUCUUCUCGUUCUAUACCAGAAGGGGCCUAUGAUGUCUUCUUGAGUUUUAGAGGAGAAGAAACUCGCAAGACGUUUACUGGUCAUCUAUAUGCUGCCUUAGAUGAAGCAGGAAUCCACACUUUUCUAGAUGAUGUUGAACUUCCUAGAGGAGAAGAAAUCUCCGAGCAUCUUCUCAAGGCAAUUCGAGAAUCAAAGAUAUCCAUAGUUGUCUUCUCAAAAGGAUAUGCUUCUUCUAGAUGGUGUCUCAAUGAACUUGUAGAGAUUCUAAAGUGCAAAAGGAAGAAAACCGGUCAGAUUGUUCUUCCUAUAUUCUAUGACAUUGAUCCUUCAGAUGUGAGAAAACAGACUGGCAGUUUUGCAGAGGCAUUUGAUAAGCAUGAAGAGCGUUUUGAAGAGGAGUUGGUGAAGGAGUGGAGAAAAGCUCUUGAGGAUGCCGGAAACCUAUCUGGAUGGAGUCUCAAUGAUAUGGCAUAUGGGUAUUCCUUUUCUCUCUAAGAUUCACUUGCAGACGUUUAUGGAGUAAUUUUACAUUACAUUUUUCAAUGUGAAGUUAUAAAAUAUUUCUUUUUAGCAUACUUAAUUGACUUGCUAUCGAUGACUUGCCUUUUUUUCUGUGAGCAGGCAUGAAGCAAAAUUUAUCAGAGGUUCCUGAGCACCUCGUAGGUAUGGAUCGGUGUACUCACAAUAUUUAUGACUUUCUAAGUAAUGCAACAGAUGAUGUACGCAUUGUGGGCAUACAUGGGAUGCCAGGAAUAGGAAAGACAACUAUAGCAAAAGUUGUAUUUAAUCAACUCUGCAAUGGAUUCGAUGGAAGCUGUUUUCUUUCGGAUAUCAAUGAAAGGUCAAAACAAGUUAAUGGUCUGGCUCUUCUACAAAAGCGACUUCUUCACGAUAUUUUAAAACAAGAUGCUGCAAACUUCGAUUGUGUUGAUAGAGGAAAGGUUCUAAUCAAAGAGCGACUUUGUCGCAAAAGAGUUCUUGUUGUUGCUGAUGAUGUUGCUCAUCAGGACCAGCUAAAAGCUCUGAUGGGAGAUCGAAGUUGGUUUGGUCCCGGAAGUAGAGUAAUUAUUACAACAAGAAAUUCAAAUCUUCUUCGUAAAGCGGAUCGAACAUAUCAAAUUGAAGAAUUGACAAGAGAUCAGUCCCUUCAGCUUUUCAGCUGGCAUGCCUUUGAGGACACCAAGCCAGCAGAAGAUUAUAUUGAGCUUUCAAAGAAAGCAGUUGAUUACUGUGGAGGACUUCCUUUAGCUCUUGAUGUUAUGGGUGCUUGUCUGUCCGGGAAAAACAGAGAUGGUUGGAAAUCUGUAAUUGACAAAUUGAAAAGAAUUCCAAACCACGAUAUUCAAAGAAAGCUUAGAAUAAGUUAUGACUUACUGGACGGUGAAGAACUAAAAAAUGCAUUCCUUGAUAUCGCAUGCUUCUUUAUUGAUAGAAAGAAAGAGUACAUCGCAAAACUGCUAGGAGCCCGUUGCGGUUACAAUCCAGAAGUUGAUUUGCAAACUCUCCAUGAAAGGUCUCUGAUUAAAGUAUUGGGAGAGACGGUAACCAUGCAUGAUCUAUUACGAGACAUGGGAAGGGAGGUCGUUCGUGAAUCGCCUCCAAAAGAACCUGGAAAGAGGACCAGAAUUUGGAAUCAAGAGGAUGCAUGGAAUGUCCUUCAGCAGCAGAAGGUAAGAGCUCAAUGCAUACAUGAAAGCAUAGUCAAACUUAUUACAUAUAAUUGAAUGAAAGUUGUAUUGAUUUUAUUUUUUUAGGGUACGGAAGUUGUAGAGGGUCUUAAACUGGAUGUCAGAGCAUCAGAAACUAAAUCACUGAGCACAGGAUCAUUUGCAAAAAUGAAAGGCUUAAAUUUACUCCAAAUCAACGGAGCACAUCUCACCGGAUCCUUCAAAUUGCUUUCUAAAGAGUUGAUGUGGAUUUGUUGGCAUGAAUUUCCUUUGAAAUAUUUUCCAUCUGAUUUUACUUUGGACAAUCUAGCUGUUCUUGAUAUGCAGUACAGUAACCUCAAAGAAUUAUGGAAGGGAAAAAAGGUGAGAAACAUGCUGCAAUCCCCAAAAUUUGUCCAGUAUGUAAUUUAUAUUUACAUGUUAUGACUUUCUAUGAUUAAUUUUCAUUAUUUUUCUCUCUAUUAUAACAGAUUCUCGACAAGCUUAAAAUUCUUAAUCUCAGUCAUUCUCAGCACCUUCUUAAAACACCAAACUUACACAGUUCAAGUCUAGAGAAACUAAUUCUGAAAGGUUGCUCGAGUUUAGUUGAGGUGCAUCAAUCAAUUGAAAAUUUGACGAGCCUUGUUUUCUUGAAUCUGAAGGGAUGUUGGAGUCUGAAGACUCUCCCUGAAAGCAUUGACAAUGUAAAAUAUCUUGAAACUCUGAAUAUAUCUGGGUGUUCACAACUUGAGAAAUUGCCGGAACGCAUGGGUGAUAUGGAAUCCUUAACCGAGCUGCUAGCUGAUGGGAUUGAAAAUGAGAAAUGUCUCUCUUCAAUUGGACAAUUUAAGCAUGUCAGAAGGUUAUCAUUGCGUCGAAAUAGUUCGGCUCCACCAAGUUCUUCUUUGAUUUCAAUAGGUGUUUUGAAUUGGAAACGUUGGCCGCCAGCAUCUUUCAUUGAAUGGAUAUUAGUGAAACAUCUUGAGCUUUCUAAUAGUGGUUUGUCUGAUCGCGCAACUAACUGUGUUGAUUUCAGUGGUUUGUCUGCUCUAGAAAAAUUGGAUCUAGAUGGAAACAAAUUCUCUAGGCUGCCUUCUGGGAUCGGCUUCCUUCUCAAGCUAAGGGAUUUGUCUGUUGAGGGAUGCAAAUAUCUUGUAUCAAUCCCAGAUCUUCCCUCAAGUUUAACGCGUUUGGGUGCAUCUUAUUGCAAAUCAUUGAAAAGAGUAAGAAUACCAAGCGAGCCAAAAAAAGAACUAUAUAUAUUCCUAGAUGAAAGUCAUUCGUUAGAAGAGUUUCAGGACAUUGAAGGUCUAAGUAAUAGUUUCUGGUAUAUUCGUGUUGAUGACCGCAGUCAUUCACCAAGUAAAUUACAGAAGAGCGUUGUUGAGGUACUAUUUCUUUCUGUCUCUCUUUCGCACAAAAAGAAACACACAUAAUUGGCACAUACAUUGAUUAAUGUCUAAGAUCCUAGCAUUUCUUGAAAUCAAUAUGUAUACAGGCAAUAAUCAUUAUUAUUAUUAUUUUAUUUUAAAAAAUAAGUAUCAUCUUUAAUAAUAUUUUUUAUUUUUCUUAUUUAAUCUAAAAAAUUAAAUAUUAUCUUUAAUAAUAUGUUUUUAUUAAAUAUUUAAAGUCUGAUUGGUUUUAUUUUUUAUUUCUUGAUUUUAUGAUAAUAUAUUUAUACAGGCAAUGUGCAACGGUCGUCACGGGUAUUUUAUUCGCCACACUCCUGGUCAGAUGCCAAAUUGGAUGAGCUACAGGGGAGAAGGACGCUCAUUGUCAUUCCAUAUACCUCCAGUCUUCCAAGGCUUAGUUGUUUGGGUUGAUAAGGAUGAUAAGGAUGCUCACAUUAUUAUUAUUAUAAGAAAUAAUAGAAAUGGUAAUCUCUUGUUUCAAUGUACGAAAUGGUAUUAUCAUCCAAAAACUGGAAGUAUAAGAUACAUAAGAAGAAGUGAAAUGGCAAUGGAAGAUUACUGUGCAGAUGACGAAUUGGAACUAUACAUUUAUUCAAAGCCAUCACCGUUGGCAAUGGCAAUGGCAAUGAAGGAUGCUGUGAUGCCUUCAUUUGAACCGUCUACACCUAAGCAAUGUGGGGUCCAUGUGAUCGUAGGAAAGUCAGAUUCAUUUGAAGAGUUGGCAGUGGGAAGAGAUGCAGUGAUGCUUCCUCAUCCUCGUUGUGGUUCGAUUACAGCGUCUACACCUAAGCAAUGGAUUGACUUUUUAUUUGCGAAGCUGCAAAACCAUAACCUCAAUUUAAGGCUUUUUGGUAAGAAUACAUAUUUCCUUUAGUUAUUUCUAUUUUAAUAUUCUAUUUAAUUUAAGAGAUUAAAUAUCAUCUUUAAUUAUUACAUUUUUCUUAUUUAAUCUAAAAAAAUAAAUAUUAUCUUUAACAAUAUUUUUUAUUAAAUAUUUAGAGUCUGCUUGGUUUUAAUUAUUUCUUUUCUUGAUUUUAUGAUAAUAUUUUUCUUAUUUAAUAUAAAAAAUAAAUAUUAUCUUUAAUACUUAGAUCUAUCGAAUAUCACUUAAAAAAUAAAUUGUAACUUUAAUAAUUAUUUUUUGAAAAACAAAAAGCCAACAAUCACUAACUUAUUUAUUAAAAUCACUUUAGUUUAUCUAGAAAAUAUUGAAAUUGAUUUUUUUUUUACAUUAAAGUAAAAAAAAAAUAAUGUUUUUAUAUUUUAUUUCAAACUCGAUAUUUUAAAACAAAAAUGAAAAAGAUGUGAUUUUGACCUUUUUUAUUAUAAAGUAAGUUUUUUAAUUAAAAGUGAUGGGAAUUUGUUUUAUUGCAUGUACAAUCAUGCACAUUUAACUUUCUUUUUAAAUUUGAUGGUUUUUUAGUACGGGAAUGACUUGAAGAUGAUUUUACAUAGAGAUGCUUGAAGUUGCUCCAAAUCAGUACGAUACUUUCAUCUGACAUGUUGAUAUGUAUUUGUUGGCUUGAAGAUCAUUUUCCAUCCGCUGGACAACCUAGUUGUUAAUUAUUUUCCAAGGUACUUCUAUCUGAUGUAUUGAUAUGUAUUUGUUGGCUUGAAGAUCAUUUUCCAAGCUUGGAAGUUUUAUUGAAUGCUCUUUGAAAUCUUUUCCAUCCGCUUUUAUACUGGACAACCUAGUUGUUAAUUAUUAUCCAUGAUGUAAUUUAUAUUUUCAAGUUAUAAAUUUUGAUGAAUAUUGUUUCAGUUUUUUCCUCACUUCAAAAGAUGAAAAUCCUUGAUGUUAGUUAGAAAUAAAUUGGUUUUCUAGGAAGAGAUUAUUGAUUGGAAUAUAGUAUUUGAGUUGGUUCUACAUCAUUUACUGUUAUAAAUAAUUUAAAAUAAUUGAUGAAAAUUACCGAUACAUAGAAAAGUUGUGAGAGCAUCCUUAAUUAGUCUAGUAAGUAAAGUGUUGUUAGUUUUGACUAUAAGAUCUUGCUAUGUAUUAUUGCAUGGUUUUUACUAUUUUUAGGCAUUUUUCUUUUUGUAUAUACAACUUUUGUUUUUCUUGCCGCUUGUCAUUAGCUUUAUGGCACCAACACCAAUUAAUAAUAAAUCUUGAACUAUUAUUAAAUAAAGAAAAAAUAUAAACAUUGUUAAAAUACCAAACUUGAAUUGCUCAAUCCUAAAGAAACCCUAUGACAAUAAUCUAAUUUAGAAAAUAAUUAAUUUAUCCUUGUAGUCUAAGAAAAUAUAAACAUUGUUCUUUCUUAUUUUAUUUUUUUUAAUUGGAUUACCUUUAUCUUAACGAGUGAAAUAAAGAAACACUCCCCCCAUCUUUCUUGUUCCCUUUCCCUUCUUUACAUGGCUUACUCAGUGAAAAAGCAAUUAAACACCCCAUUUGAUUUUCAAUCAGUAUGAGAGUGAGAGAGAGAGAGGCCAAGGUGGUCCUUGAAUAUUUUCUUCUUUUUUGUCUCGCUCACUGGGGCAAACCAUUUUUUUCAACAUUUUGAAUAGCAUGCCAUCAAAAGGAAUUUUGUUCAAUCCCAAUCCCACAUUGUCUGUAGAAGUAUUUACUUUUGACUCCACACUUUGUUAUUUUCCAAUCCCUCCCCAGUUCUGCAACCAUUUCUCUACUUUCUAUGCUCUUGGCUUGCUAAAAACUAAAGAAAACACAUUGCUCUAGUUGCCUCCCUUCACUCUUCAGAUUGCUCAACAAAUCCCUUGAGACCUUCUCCAUAGUUAACACAUCACAUAAUGGGUACUCUAAAAAAUUUAGCCAUAAACAUUGAACACCUUGAGCAAUCAACGUGCCUUCCUUCACAAUAUCCAUCGCCCAUAAAUCUUUCUUUUGGGAUGUCGCGGGAGUUUAAUCUCCGAGUGUUAAAAUUAUGUAUAAAUUUCCAUUCUUUCCUUCCAUCCAUUACUUGUCCUCUAUGAAGAUUCUAUGUAUGAAAUCUCGGAAUCUUUUCGAGUAUAACUUGGGAUCAACAGCUGAGAUAGACGUGGGAUCCACUUGUAAGGACUUGUAUGCAUGCUCUAGCUUUUUGCUGAUAUCAUAAUCUUGGAGGAUGUCAAUGAUACCAAAGUGAAGAACUACAUCUCACAAUCACCAAAAUUCAAAGUAAAGUAACGGAGAAGAAAAUCUGAUAACAAUGAAUGAUCACUCAUUAACCACAGCGAAUCUUACGCUUUGAAAACACUUUUCACCAUCAAUUUUCCUUUUCUCAUUGAUUUUAAAUCUUCCAGGCAGAUAAAAUAGCAUUGGUUUCAUUCUGUUAAAAAUGGACCUAUUCAUCAGCUUAGGCAUCAACAACAUGUUGCAUCCACAAUCUUACUACUACAUUAUAAUUAUAAACAAAACUAAAAAAAUAUAUAUAUGAGGACAGAGUUAACAGACAUGCACUAAGAGUUAACAGACAAUUCUGUUAUAACAAACAAGUGAACAAUCUGUUUUCUCCAACCUUCCAGCAUUAUUCUCCCGAGCAUAUUCUGUCAGCUCAAGAUUAGGCAAUUCUGUUAACCAUGCUGUUAGCUCUGUUCUCUUUUGUUGUAUAUAUACUUGAUUGAUUGAUUGAUUCAAUAACAUUAUCUUUCUCUCUUCUCACCUGCCCCCUUUUUCUUCUCCUUUUACCUCUAGCUUCCAAUGCCUAUCAACACCACCAUCCUUAACACAAAUGAAUCUCACAGCAUGUUGAUUACCAUCAAUGUAGCAGCCCAAACUCCAUUAAAACUUACCUCCACCAGGCACCAACUAUCUAGCCUGGAAACUUCAAUUCCAGACUCUAUUCAUAGGACAUUUGAUUGAGGUCUCCACAAACAUUGAAACACCGCAAUUUUUCAUGAUAAAAUCCAAAGGAUUGGUACUUUGGUGUUUGAGGGGCUGGUAAAUGAAAGAACAGAUCAAGAGAUGACAUCCCUCUAUACCGCUGUUAUUCCUUUCAAGGUGCGUAUCAGGUGUUUGAAAAACUUCCUCAACUUAAAAUAAAAAGGUCUUGUUUACAACGUUUUUUAGUCCUUUACAAAUCUUCCAAUGUGUUGCGUUUACUGAAUAUGAUAGUGGGAACUUAUUUAUCAAGAAUUAACUACUCAGAAGAAAAUGUAAAGACGCAAUAAUGAUUUUUUUAUUUUAGAUUCCAUAGUCUACAAACUUGGAAGCAUACGGACCAGUCAGCUGGUAAAUGAAAGAACAGGGAUCAAGAGAUGAAAUCCCUCUAUACCGCUGUUUGAUACAAAAGUUCAUGGCCAAGUAAAAGAUGUUUAUUUUGGAUGUAAUAAAUAUUCAUAUUGCAACAUAAUAGUCAUCUCUCAAAUCCAUAAUUCAAUUGAUCAUAUAAAUAAUUGUUGAUUACUUAAAUAAACAAUUAUAUAAUUAAAUACUUAAUUAUAAAUUAAAGAGAUGGACAAUUAUAUAUUUCUAAAAUCUUAAUUACAAUUAUAUUAUAAUUUCUUCCCUAAAAUUUUUCAAAAUACAGUAUUAGAAUUACAUAAUAAAAUACAGUAUUAUAAUUUCUCAUCUAAAGGUCCAGCAUACCCUGGGAAUCUGAUCGGGUCAAGCUACGAGCAAUUAGGAGGCAUGACCAUCACCCACAUGUAACUUUGCUAAUAAUAUAUUACGGUUGUCAAAAUUAAUUAUUAUUAGCAAAAACUUAUUUUAUUUGUGAAUCUCUCAACCGUUGGAUUUAGAUAUGAGGAUAAGAGAUUGUGGGCACCUCUCUUUUUUAAAAUAACUAAAAUCUAAAUCAUCGGACGNNNNNNNNNNNNNNNNNNNNNNNNNNNNNNNNNNNNNNNNNNNNNNNNNNNNNNNNNNNNNNNNNNNNNNNNNNNNNNNNNNNNNNNNNNNNNNNNNNNNCCGGGAUUAUUUUAACUCAGUGAUCCUUCCCAGGUAGGCCCAGGUCACAUUGAUUAUGUUAAAAAAAAAAAAAAUCUAAUGUCUUUACCAUUAUAUUAUAAUUAUUUAGGAGGAUAGUUGAACAAUACUUUUUUAAAAAAAAUUAAUUUUUGACGAGUAAAAUAAUGUGGAACCAAUCGCAAUAAAUAAAGCCAAAAAAGGCAGACGAGUGUGUCUAAUUCAUGACUUGCAUUGACUAAAAAUUACCACUAGAAAUUCCUAGUUUUAUCCUAUAUAAAGAAUACAAAAAAGGCAGACGAGUGUGUUUCGUGGUGCUUUCUCGGCCUGCAAAUGAAUAGAAAGCAUAUCCUUUUAUCCUAUAUAAAGAAUAAUACAAUUAACAAAGCAUAUUUCAAUAUCCUUGCUUUACUCUCCAGCUAACCUGAUACAUAUUUCAAUGUCUCAAGACAUACGUAUGCCAUUGAUAGAAAGGUGUGUUCAAGCAAAAUCUUUUUUUAUCUGUAGCGACCUCAAUAAUGUUAACGCCACGAAAUUACCACUCCAAAUUCCUUGUUCUUCCUUUUUAUAUUAUUAGAAAAACUGUGAUUGACUGAUUUAAUUGGAAAUUAUUUGUGAGAAAGCUAAAAAGAAUUGGAGUUCUUCAAUUCCUAAAAUUCUAAUUUUAAAUUGUAAAAAAAAAUUAAUUAUUUUUAAAAUUAUUUUAGAAAAUAAAACAUUAACUAUUUAUAUAAUAGCUAAAUAAAUCUAUUAAAAUAAAUCGAAAAUAACCAGUAAAAUCAAGCAAAUAAUUCAAAUAUAACAAGUAAAUAAUUAUAUUUUUUUGGUCUGAUUUGAGUAUGUUUUCUUGACUUGCUUUAGUGUUCAUUAAACAUAAACAAACUUUGCUCUAAGAGUCUGCUUAUCAAUAAAAUAUUACUUUUACUGUACAUAAUAGAAAUAAUUUGGUUACCCGUCGACACUUACGUCACUUUACUCUUCAAUCGAUGUAAUUUCAUAGCUUUUCUCAGCAGGUGGGAUCCAACUAAUUUCAUAAAUCAUAAUUCUUCCUAAGGCGAUGCCAAAUAGGUGCCAAGAGUAUACCGCAUUAAGCGAAAACAUGCUGUCGCCAUAGUCUUACAGCUAANNNNNNNNNNNNNNNNNNNNNNNNNNNNNNNNNNNNNNNNNNNNNNNNNNNNNNNNNNNNNNNNNNNNNNNNNNNNNNNNNNNNNNNNNNNNNNNNNNNNCCAUUAAUAUUUGAUUGUUAUAAUUUAAUUUUUUUUUAAAAGCAAUUAAUCUUCAUUCUCUUUAUUUUUUUUCAAUCCAUUUAGUAAUUUGAUUUUUUUUUUUAAUUUUACCCUUCAAUUUAAAAUUUUAGUUUGUCCUCUCAAUUUUUUUUCAAAUGAUGUUCUUUUUUCUUAAUUGUUGUUUUUUUAUCCUUUAAUUUUUUUUAAUUUUAUUAUUCAACAUUUCAUUAAUUGAGAUUUGGUCUCAUUAAGCCCUACCCAAGAGUCAAUCUGGGAUAAUUAUUAAGUCACAAGUCGAGUAAGUUGACUCGAGUUAACCUAAGUUAACCAAAUCGUUUUAUUUUAUAAAAAGCCAAAAUGAUACCAUUUUUUUUAAAAAAAAUAAUAAACAAGUUUUGACCAUGUUUCGGCUAGGUUUUCUCAGGGUUAACUGAAAUAUUGGUCAACCCAGGUUUUGAUCGUAUUAUACUGGAGUAAUUCUCCGUCAAUUUUUUUUGAAACUCGAGCCAGUUUCAGCUAAAGGUCACUUAGAACACAGGUCAACCCAUAAGUUAAACCAAAUUUUUAAAUAAUAACUUUACAAAUAUAGUUCUUUCAAUUUAAUUACUAUCUCAGAUUAAGAUUUGAAAAAUUAACAUGGAUUUCUUUCGUUAUUCAUUUUAAAAAAGAACUCGUUAGUUUGCAAGUCCACGUGUCAAAUUUGGAAAAUCAUAUGGCCCAUUGAUAGAAAGGGGUGUUGAAGCAAAAUCUUUAUUAGCAAAGCCUGUUCGACCUCAAUAAUGUUAACGCGUGGACCCAGUUGUCGCAACCACCGCGAAAUUACCGCUCCAAAUUCCUUGUUCUUUCUCCGUAUAUUAUUUUUGAAAAACUGCCAUGUAUUUAAUUGUAAAGUAUUUGCAAAAAAGCUAAAAGAAUUAUAGUUUUUUAAUUUUUAAAAUUAUAAUUUUAAAUUGAAAAAAAAUAAUUAUUUUUAAAAUUGUUUUAAAAAUAUAACAUCAACUAUUUAUAUAAUAGCUAAAUAAAUAUAUUACAAUAAAUCAAGAAUAACAAGUAAAAUCAAGCAAAUAAUCCAUAAAUAACAAGAAAAUAAGUAUAUUUUCUAGAUCUGAUUUGAGUAUAUUUUUUAUCUUGAUUGACUGACUUGCUAAGUUUUUGCUAAGUAUAAACUAAUUUUACUCUAAGAAUUUAUUUGAUAUUUCUUCACUUAUUAAUGAAAUAUUAUUUCUACUGUAGAAAAUAGAAAUAAUUUGGUUGACCAUCGACACUUAUGUGAUUGAUUAUUGAUUAUUUUACUCUAAGAUGAAUAUUUUUUUGUUUGCAUCAAAUAAUUAAAAUUGAGAAUUUCAAAGCAGAGGGUUUAAGGAAUAUUAAAAGAGAAGGUUUUACGUAAUUAUUAUAUAAUUGAAAUUGUCACUAAUCUCCUUUGUUCAUUUUCUUUUUCUAUUACCCCUUCCAAUCAGCAUGCAAGAAACUUUCAACGUUUUACACUGCUUGUUCACUUAAUAAAACUAUUACUUGCUAUAAAGCAAGAAAUAAUAUUCUUUCUCUGAAAAGGGCUUGAGAAAACCCUAAGCAUGGUAGAUAAUCUCUUAUAGGAAUCUCUUUAUUAAAUAAUCAAAUAUCAAAGUCUAUUUCCAAAGACUAUUACUACAGUUUAUAUAUAUAUAUAUAUAUAUAUAUAUAUAUAUAUAUAUAUAUAGAAACAACUAAAUAGAGAAAUUAUUAUUUUUUAAAUAGAAAAGGUUGAAAAGCUUGAUAAUAUCGAGUAAGAAAUAAAAUAUAAAAAUAAUUCUUUUUUAAAUAAACAAAUAUAAAAGUUUAAUAGUACUGAAUAGAAAAAAAAAUAGAAUUUCUAAACUAAAUAAAAGUAACUGAAAAAAGUAUUUAUUAUUCCAAAAAAUUAGAGUUUUUUAAUUUAUAAAAUUAUAAUUUUAAAUUGUAAAAAUAAUUCAAUUAUUUUUAAAAUUAUUUUAAAUAAUAAAACAUCAACUAUUUAUAUAAUAGCUAAAUAAAUCUAUUAAAAUAAAUUGAGAAUAACUAGUAAAAUCAAGCAAAUAAUCCAAAAAUAACAAGCAAAUAACUUGUCAAGUCUUUAUUCAGCACAAACGAACUUUAUUCUAAAAGUAUAUUUGAUAUUUCUUCACUUAUCUAUGAAAUAUUACCUCUACUGUACAGAAUAGAAAUAAUUUGAUUGACCGUCGAUACUUAUGUUAUUGAUUAUUGAUUAUUUGGAAGAAGAAAUUGUAUUCAUUCUUCUUAUUUAUUUUUAUUAUUAACGUGGAUGUUCAGGCCAGCUUGCGCACACCUCGACUAAUCCCACGAGUCCUGAAGUUAACGAUCAUGUAAGCCUCCAGUGACCAUCAUAUUAGCAACUAUAGAGCUCGAACCUGAGAUUAUAGAGGGAACAAACCUCUUAAUCUCAAACUCUUAUCACUAGAUCACCUACUUUACUAUUCAGCUCGUUGUAAUUUCAUAGCUUCUCCCAGGUGGACGCAACUAAUUUCAUAAAUUAUAAGUCUUCGCUAAGCAUAAAUGAACUUUAUUCUGAGAGUCUGAUUGAUAUUUUUUCAUUUAUUAAUGAAAUAUUACUUCUAUUGUAUAGUUAUUGGGUACCGAGUCGAUCCACCUGGUCAAUAGAUGAACGGUACAUUCUUUGAAUUUAUUAGAAGAAAUAUGUAGUGUAAAUUAUAAAAAAAAUAUUUAUUUUUUGAUAUAUAAUAAUAAUAAUAAUAAUAAUAAUAAUAAAUUAGAUGAUAGUAACAAGAAAAUAGAAAUUAAUUUGAAUAAAUGGUAAGAGUUCCUAUUCUAAUAUAUCCAGGGAAGAAGUUCGAAGAAUAGAAUGAAGUUAAAUAUUCUUAAUAAAAGAAAGAAAUGAAAUAUAUUUUUAAUAAAUAUAAAAGAUGGAUAAAAUUAGAGAACAAGAAAGAGAUAUAUAAUCUUUUUGUAAGAACUUCUAAAAAUUUAAUUACAAUUCAGAAUUUCUUCCUUAAAAAUAUCCAAAAAAUCCUAUUAUAUAUGAAUCAAGACAACAGUAGAAUAACUUUUACAUAUUUUUCAAGUUUACUUAGAAUAGCAGUGGAAUAAUUCUUUUAAUAUUUAAAAAUUAAAAAAAAAACUGUGUAGUUGUUUUGUAUAAAUUCUAAAGUUGAGAACUCUUUUGUGCUUGGUAAAAUAUGAUUUUCAACUUUCGUAGGCGAGCACUAAAGUCCCAAGCUUCAAGAAUUUCUCUUCUUUUCCUUUUGUAUUUUCUCAUUUUCUUGGCAUGCGCGCAGCUGCUUCAUGGAAAAAACGUUUCAGAUGCGGAAAAUAAAGAUAAAUGUGGAAAAUAGAAGCGGAAAAAAAAUCCCAAAUAUCGACAAACAUCACAAGAGAAGCUUGAUAUCAACCACAUGUUGCAGUCCACAGUCUUUCCAUUACAUUAUAAUUACUUCUAAAAAAAAAUUUAAUUUUUUUUAAUUAUACGCCAUCAGCAACUACCUCAAAAUUACCACUCUAAAUUCCAGCUCAAUAUCGAUUAACAUGUGGCUAAAGAAUUUGAUUGCUGCUCAAUAUUUACCAAUACGCGCUUGAGAAAUUUCCUGCACGUGUUACAUUUUUAUCUUUUAUAAUUAUAAUUAUUGCAUUGCUAAUAAUUUGCAAGAAAGAAUAUUGUUUCUCUUAAAAGGGCUUGAGAAAACCCUAAGCAUUGUAGAUAAUCUCUUAUAGGAAUCUCUUUAUUAAAUCAUCAAAAUAUCAGAGUAUAUUUCCAAAUACUAUUACUAUAGUUUUUAUAUAUAUAUAUAAAAAUAGAAACAACUAAGUAGAGAAAUUAUUAUUUUUUAAAUAAAAAAACUAGAAAAGCCUAUAAUAUUAUUGAAUAAAAAAUAAAAUAGAAAUUUAAUCAAUUAAAAGUUUAAAAAAAAAUACUGUUUAACUGUUUUGUAUAAAUUCUAAAGUUAAAGAGUCUUUUGUGCUUGGUAAAAUACGUCACACUAAAAUUAAUAAAUAAUAACACAAGAAAGGACCAAAGUUAAUAAAUAAUAGCAUGCACGAAACUUCACGAUACCCAUGUUUUCCACGUUUUACACUGUUUUAAUAGAUUGUUACAGCAAGAGCACAGAGAGAGGAACGGUUCAAGACAAAACAACGAAGGAGGGGCAGAUGCUCAAGUUGUUGCAACCACCAUGAAAGGAACACAUUAAUGUUAACGCGUGGACCCAGUUGCUGCACCAGCACGAAAGUACUACUCCAAAUUCCAGCUCAAAUUGAAUAAUGAUUUAUUUUCUAGCAUAAAUUAUGUUUGAAAUAAAAUUGAUAAAAGACAUAAUUACACAAUUAUUGAUGGGAUCGUAUAUAAAAAUAAUUAAAUUGUGAUUUUUUAAUUAUUUUUAAACAUAUCAUGGUUUGAGGUACAUCAUGUAAAUUAUAAAAAAAAUAUUUAUUUUUCUGAUAUAUAUAUAGUAAUAACAAAUGGUUAGAAUGCUUUAGUCCUUUUCGAGUGGAAAGUGGUGUGAAAGUGGGAACUACUGUGAGAGCUUUAUGCCACUUUCUAAAUCGCGAGUAAAGUCUGAAUGUUUUUAGAAAGAAGCAGCCUUCAUUGCUUUUCAAAACCAAUCUCUGUAUCUAUUAACAAAAACUCUAAAUCGCGAGUAAAGUCUAAAUGUUUUUUAAAAAGAAGCAGUCUUCAUUGCUUUAAUAAAUUGUUACAAUAAAGCACUGAGAGAAGAAUGGUUAUACCGUUGAGCCGGGUCGAGUUUUAAAAUUAUAAUUUAUAUAUAAAAACAACUAAAUAGAAAAAUUAUUAUUUUUUAAAUGAAAAAACCAGAAGAGCUUAAUAAUAUUUAAUAAAAAAAUAAAAAUGAAAAAAUAUUCCUUUUUAAGUACAAACUAAUUUAAUAAUACUGUAUAAAAAAAUUAAAAUUUCUAACCUAAAUUAAAAAAAAUAAAAAUAACUGAGAAAAUAUUUAUAAAGAUAACGGUAUGUAAAUCUAGGAACUAAAAAUAAUACAACUACAUUGAUUGGAGAUUUCACUCAGAAUUUCUAGUAAAUUAUAAAGGAAAUUUCCUAGUGCUUUUCAUGUACAUGAAUUUAAAAAUUAUCGUCGCGGAACUUACUUGCAUUGACUGACUUGCUAAAUAUUUGUGCUCGAAAUUUCCAAGCAAUUUAUGGAGGAAAUUUCCUUGUGCUCUCUCUUGUACAUUAUUAGAAAAGCUGUCAUUGAUUGAUUGACUUGCAAAAGUAUUUGCAAGAAAGCUAACGAAUUAGAGUUUUUUAAAAUUUUAAAUUAUUAAAAAAAUCCAUUUUUUUUUUAAAUCAAGAAUAAAACAUCAAGUAUUAUAUAAUUGCUAAAUAAAUCUAAUAAAAUAAAUCGGAAAUAACUAGUAAAUAAUCCAAAAAUAACUAGAAAAUAACCUUUUCCACCUCAAUAAUGUUAACGCGUGGACCCAGUUGUUGUGGAAACUAUGCAGAGGAAGAAAAAUGAUAGAAAAAUUUGCAAGAGAGAAUUCUUUCUCUGAAUAGAAAAAAACUAUUAUUUUUUAAAUAAAAACAACUAUAUAGAAAAAUUAUUACUUUUUAGGUAGAAAAACCUCAUGAUAUUGAAUAAAAAAAUAAAAUAGAAAAAUUAUUCUUUUCAAGUAGAAAAAAAUAUAAAAGUUUAAUAAUAUUGAAUAGAAAUCAAUAAAAUUUCAAAACUAAAUAAAAAUAAUAGAGAAAAAUAUUUAUUAUCCUAAAAAUUCUUAUAUUAAAAUAUUUAAAAGAACUGAGUUUACAUGCUUUAAACAGAAAAACAACAAAAAAAAAAAACAAAUGUAACAAGAAAAAUUCCACACAACGUAAUAUGAUAUAAAUUGAGGUUUUUAAAUUACCUAUAAACAUAUCAUAAUAUAUAUGGUACAUCCUUUGAAUUUAUUAGAAAGAAGCCAUUAACUAGCCUUUUCAAUUGGAUCUUUUAUUUAAAUGAAAAGGAAUAUUUAUUUUAAUAUGAAAAAAAUAUUUAUUUUUUUGAUAUUUCUGGUAAUAAUAAAUUAGAGGAUAGUAACAAGAAAAUAGGAAUUAGAUCGAAUAAAUGGUACCAAUUUGUAUUCUGAUAUAUCUAGCCAAAGAAUAGAAUGAAUUAAAACAUUCUUAAUAAAAAAAACAGAAAACACAGAAAUAAAUAAAAAGAUAUUCUUAAUAAAUAUAAAAAAUAGGUAAAAUCAGAGAACAAGAAAGAGAUAUAGAAUCUCUUUCUAAGAUUUCUAAAAACUUAAUUACAAUUACAUUAUAAUUUCUUCCUUAAAAUUAUUCAAAAUAUAGUAUUAGAAUUGCAUAAUGCUAGGUUUUAGUAUAUAGUUGUUUAUAUUGUUAAAGAGUCUCUCCUAAAACAAAUAAUAAAAAUAUUGUACAACUCUUUUGAAUGAAUUGUUAAUGCACGGACUGUUUUGGGUCCUGACUUGGUUGAUUUAACUUGAAUGUAUUAUUUGAUUGGUCCAAAUAAAAGUCGACUCGAAAUUUCUAUUAAUUUACAAAAGAAAUUUCCUAGUACUUUAUGCUGUAUAUAAUUUGAAAAAUUAUGACUGACCGACUUACUUGCAAAGUAUUGGCAAGAAAGUUAAAGAAUUAGAGUUUUUAAAUAUUUAAAAUUAUAAUUUUAAAUUCUAAGAAAAAAAUCAAUUAUUUUUAAAAUUGUUUUAAAAAAUAAAAGCAUCAACUAGCUAAAUGAAUCUAUUAAAAUAAAUAAAAAAAUAAUUAGUAAAAUCAAGUGAAUAAUCCAAAAAUAACAAGAAAAUAGAGAUAUUUCCUAAAUAUGAUUCCAGUUUGUAUUUGCUAACAUAAAUAGCAUACACGAACUUUAUUAUAAUAGUAUAUUUGAUAUUUAAAAAAAAAACUUAUAUAUAUUAUAUGGGUUGGAAACCCAUUUUUUAUUAAAUUUUAAAUUUUAUAUGUUUAAAAAUAUUUUUUUAUAUUUUUUAAUUAUUUUAAUAUGAUAAUAUCAAAAAUAAAUAAAUAAAAUUUUUCUAACUCUUACUACUUCUGACUUGCUAUGACUCGAAAUUCGUGGUGCUCUCUCCUGCAAAUGAAUACAAAGCAUAUCCUUUCUCUUUCUCCUAUAUGAAGAAUACAAUUAGAAAUUUCCUUGGUUUACUCUUCAGAUUACUUUUCCAUGCACGAAACUUUAUGCCAAUUAGCAACCACUGUGAAAUUACAACUCAAAAUCCCAUGAAUAUAUAAAAAAAAAUUAGAAUUUGACUAGAAAAAUUCUAUCAAAUUCUCUACUUUGUUAGUGUUCAUUUUCCUUCUUUUUUUACCAUAUCUUCAGUUGGGACAAAAUUAUCUUCCCCAAACGAUAGACCUUUAUUUUCCUUCUUUUUUAGUUUAUUAGUAAUUACAUUAAAGAAAAAUAUUAAUUAGUAAUUUUACAUUUUUUUUCUAUAUUAUAAUUAUCAAAUAACCCUUAAAAAAUUUUAUUUUAACCUUUUUUUUCUCUCUUUUUUUUUCAAUUUAUUUGUUAAUUUAAUUUUUUUUUUAAUUUUACCUUCCGGUUCAAAAUUUUAGUUUAUUCUCUCAAUUUAUUUUUCAAAUGAUGUUCUUAUUCUCUUAAUUGCUAUUUUUUAUCCUUCAAUCUUUUUAUUUUAUCAUUCAACAAUUCAUUAAUUGGGAUCUGGUCUCAUUGGUUUUUCCUAUUGUUUCUAAACUCUACCCAAUAGUCAAUCCAGUAUAAUUAUCAAGUUACGAGUUGAGUGGAUUGACUCGAGUUAAUCUAAGGCAACCAAAUCUUUUUGUUUUAUAAAAAGCCAAAAUGAUGCCAAUUUUUUAUUUUUAAAAAAUAAAAAACGAGUUUUGAUCUUGUUUCGGCUAGAUUUUCUCAUGAUUAACUAAAACAUUGAUCAACCUAGAUUUUUUAUUGUAUUACAUUAGAUCAAUUCUACCUCAAUUGUUUUUGAAACUCGGGCCGUUUUAAACUAAAGAUCACCUGGGACACAGUUUCUUGGCGCUUUGUACUGUAUAUAAUUUGAAAAACUGUGAUUGACCGACUUACUUGCAAAGUAUUUGCAAGAAAGCUAAAGAAUUAGACUUUUUCAAUAUUUUAAAUUGUAAGAAAAAAUCAAUUGUUUUUUUUAAAUUAAAAAAUAAAACAUCAACUAUUUAUAUAAUAGCUAAAUGAAUCUAUUAAAAUAAAUAAAAAAUAACUAGUAAAAUUAAGUAAAUAAUCCAAAAAUAACAAAAAUAAAUAAAAAUGUAUUUUUUAAAAACUUUUAUCUUAUAUGGGUUGGGGUUGCUAUGCAACUUAACCGGGAUCACCAUGAUUGUCGAGUAGAGUAAAUAAAUUACUUAACCGGGAUCACCAGAGGAGUUAUUUGCCAAGAUUAAGUUAUAUAACAGUUUAUAAAUCAUGCUAUCAUCUUCAUCACCAUAUAUAAAGUUUUAUAAUAAAAAAAUAUUUAAAAAAACAAUUUUCAUUACAUUUUCAAAUUAGUUAAAGUUUUUCAAAUGAAUGGAUUGAUGUCGAUGACACUCUCUAGUCAGUUUUGAGAAUUUUAAAUCCAAACAAGUGAAUUUAUAUUGUAUAUGGAUCAAGCAAGCAUGCUUGUACAAUAAUUUCUUAUACUCAAUAGAAAUUUGGGUUUAUCAUUACAAACCGUAUUUUAAAAUACUAUUGCCAAAAGAUCAUAUUAUUUAUUAAAACAAGAAAGGACCAAAGUUAAUAAAUAGUAGCAUGCUCGAAACUUCGUGAUACCAAAGUUAAUAAAUAAUAAAGUUAAUAAAUAGUAGCAUGCUUUAAAAGAGUGUUACAGUAAAAGCACAGAAAGAAGAACGGUUCAAGACAGAACUAUAAUGUUAACGCGUGGGACCCAUUUGUUGCAACCAGCACGAAACUCCAGCUCAAUAUUUACCAGCACUACACGCUUGAGUAAUUUCCUUGCGUUUUUUUUCCUCUACCGCUCUACGUGUUACCUUUUACCUCUUUUAUAAUUAUGAUUUAUUAACGAGAAUAAAACAAUUCUGUGUAAAUUAUACAAAUUUCCAUUGUUGCUUUUUUUCUUGCACGUGUUAGAUUUUUAUUUUUUAUAAUUAUAAUUAUUGCAUUGCUAAUAAUUUGCAAGAAAGAAUAUUCUUUCUCUGCUUAAGAAAACCCUAAGCAUUGUAGAUAAUCUCUUAUAGGAAUCUCUUUAUUAAAUCAUCAAAAUAUCAGAGUCUAUUUCCAAAUACUAUUACGACAGUCUAUAUAAAGAAUACAAUUAACCUCAUUUCAAUAUCAUAGCUUUGGAAUUUCAUAGCUAACUCUUUGUUAUAUUGCUCCAUUGGUAAUUGAUUGUGCCUUGAUUUCUGCAGCUGCCAUGACAGAGCCAGAGUCUUCUCGAUCUAGACCAGAAGGCGCCUAUGAUGUCUUCUUGAGUUUUAGAGGAGAAGACACUCGCCAGACAUUUACAGAUCAUCUAUAUACUGCCUUGGUCCAGGCAGGAAUCCACACUUUUCGAGAUGAUGAUGAACUUCCGAGAGGAGAAGAAAUCUCCGAUCAUCUCCUCAGGGCAAUUCACGAAUCAAAGAUAUCCUUAGUUGUCUUCUCAAAAGGAUAUGCUUCUUCUAGAUGGUGUCUCAAUGAACUUGUAGAGAUUCUUCAGUGCAAAAAUAGGAAAACCAAUCAGAUUGUUCUUCCUAUAUUCUAUGACAUUGAUCCUUCAGAUGUGAGAAAACAGAAUGGCAGUUUUGCAGAAGCAUUUGUUAAACAUGAAGAGCGUUUUGAAGAGAAGUUGGUGAAGGAGUGGAGAAAAGCUCUUGAGGAGGCUGGAAAUCUAUCUGGAUGGAAUCUCAAUGAUAUGGCAAAUGGGUAUGUCUUUUUUCCAAAUUUAUGGAGUCAAUAUACUUUACAUUUUUCAAUGUGAAACAAUAAAAUGCUUAAUUGACUCGCUAUCAAUGACCUGCUUUUGUCUAUGAGCAGGCAUGAAGCAAAAUUUACCAAAGAGAUUAUCAAGGAUGUGUUGAAGAAAUUAGAACCCAAGUACUUAUAUGUUCCUGAGCACCUAGUAGGUAUGGAUCGGCUUGCUCGCAGUAUUUUUGACUUUCUAAGUACUGCAACAGAUGAUGUACGCAUUGUGGGCAUACAUGGGAUGCCAGGAAUAGGAAAGACAACUAUAGCAAAAGUUGUAUUUAAUCAACUCUGCUAUAGAUUCGAGGGAAGCUGCUUUCUUUCGAAUAUCAAUGAAACAUCAAAACAAUUCAAUGGUCUGGCUCUUUUACAAAAGCAACUUCUUCAUGAUAUUUUAAAACAAGAUGUUGCUAACAUCAAUUGUGUCGAUAGAGGAAAGGUUCUGAUCAAAGAGCGACUUUGUCGCAAAAGAGUUCUUGUUGUUGCUGAUGAUGUUGCUCGUCAGGACCAGCUAAAUGCUUUGAUGGGAGAGCGAAGUUGGUUUGGUCCCGGAAGUAGAGUGAUUAUUACAACAAGAGAUUCUAGUGUUCUACUUAAAGCAGAUCAAACAUAUCAGAUCGAAGAAUUGAAACCAUAUGAGUCCCUUCAGCUUUUCCGAUGGCAUGCCUUGAGGGACACAAAGCCAACAGAAGAUUAUAUUGAGCUUUCGAAGGAUGCAGUUGAUUACUGUGGAGGACUUCCUUUAGCUCUUGAGGUUAUGGGUGCUUGUCUGUCCGGGAAAAACAGAGAUGGUUGGAAAUGUGUAAUUGAAAAAUUGAGAAGAAUUCCACACCACGAUAUUCAAGGAAAGCUUAGAAUAAGUUUUGACGCACUGGACGGUGAAGAACUACAAAAUGCAUUCCUUGACAUCGCUUGCUUCUUUAUUGAUAGAAAGAAAGAGUACGUCGCAAAAGUGCUAGGAGCCCGUUGCGGUUACAAUCCAGAAGUUGAUUUGCAAACUCUCCAUGAAAGGUCUCUAAUUAAAGUUAAUGCCAUUGGGGAGAUAACCAUGCAUGAUCUAUUACGAGACAUGGGAAGGGAGGUCGUUCGUGAAUCGUCUCCAAAAGAACCUGGAAAGAGGACCAGAAUUUGGAAUCAAGAGGAUGCAUGGAAUGUACUUGAGCAGCAGAAGGUAAGAGCUCAAUGCAUACACGAAAGCAUGGUCAAUGUUGUAUUUUCUAGUCAAACUUAUUACAUAUAAUUGUAUGAAAGUUGUAUUGUUUUUUUUUUAGGGUACCGAUGUUGUAGAGGGUGUUGCACUGGAUGUCAGAGCAUCAGAAGCUAAAUCACUGAGCACAGGAUCAUUUGCAAAAAUGAAAUGCUUAAAUUUACUCCAAAUCAACGGAGCACAUCUCACCGGAUCCUUCAAACUGCUUUCUAAAGAGUUGAUGUGGAUUUGUUGGCUUCAAUGUCCUUUGAAAUAUUUUCCAUCUGAUUUUACCUUGGACAAUCUAGCUGUUCUUGAUAUGCAGUACAGUAACCUUAAAGAACUAUGGAAGGGAAAAAAGGUGAGAAACAUGCUGCAAUCCCCAAAAUUUCUCCAGUAUGUAAUUUAUAUUUACAUGUUACGACUUCUUAAGAUUAAUUUUCAUUAUUUUGCGCUCUAUUAUACAGAUUCUCAACAGGCUAAAAAUCCUUAAUUUCAGUCAUUCUCAGAACCUUGUUAAAACACCAAACUUGCACAGUUCAAGUCUAGAGAAACUAAUUCUGGAAGGUUGCUCGAGUUUAGUUGAGGUGCAUCAAUCAAUUGGACAUUCGACGAGCCUCGUUUUCUUGAAUCUGGAGGGAUGUUGGAGUCUGAAGACUCUCCCUGAAAGCAUUGGCAAUGUAAAGUCUCUUGAAACUCUGAAUAUUUCUGGGUGUUCACAACUUGAGAAAUUGCCAGAACGCAUGGGUGAUAUGGAAUCCUUAACUGAGCUGCUAGCCGAUGGGAUUGAAAAUGAGCAAUUUCUCUCUUCAAUUGGACAAUUAAAGCAUGUCAGAAGGUUAUCAUUGUGUCGAAACCGUUCGGCUCCACCAAGUUCUUCUUUGAUUUCAGCAGGUGUUUUGAAUUGGAAACGGUGGCCGCCAACAUCUUUCAUUGAAUGGAUAUCAGUGAAACGUCUUGAGCUUUCUAAUGGUGGUUUGUCUGAUCGCGCAACUAACUGUGUUGAUUUUAGGGGUUUGUCCGCUCUAGAGCAUUUGGAUCUAGAUGGAAACAAAUUCUCUAGCCUUCCUUCUGGGCUCGGCUUCCUUCCCAAGCUAAGGUGGUUGUCUGUUCAGGCAUGCAAAUAUCUUGUAUCAAUCCCAGAUCUUCCCUCAAGUUUAGACUUUUUGUUUGCAGCUCAUUGCAAAUCAUUGAAAAGAGUAAGAAUACCAAGCGAGCCAAAAAAAGAACUAUAUAUAGGACUAGAGAACAGUCAUUCGUUAGAAGAGAUUCAGGGCAUCGAAGGUCUAAGUAAUAGUUUCUGGUAUAUUCGUGUUGAUAAGCACAAUAAUUCACCAAAUAAAUUACCGAAAAACGUUAUUGAGGUACUAUUUCUUUCAGUCUCUCUUGCACAAAAAGUAAACACACAAUUAGCACAUGCAUCGAUAUUUAUUAUAUGUCAUCGAUAUUGAAUAAUGAUUUAUUUUCUAGCAUAAAUUAUGUUUGAAAUAAAAUUGAUAAAAAACAUGAAUACACAAUUAUUGAUGGGAUGGUAUAUAAAAAUAAUUAAAUUGAAAUUUUUUAAUUAUUUUUAAACAUAUCAUGGUUUUAGGUACAUCAUUAAAUUAUAAAAAAAAUUAUGUAUUUUUCUGAUAUAUAUAUAUAUAUAUAUAUAUAUAUAUAUAUAUAUGGCAAUAACAAAUUAAAUGAUUAUAACAAGAAAAUAGAAAUUAGUUUGAAUAAAUGUUACCAGUUCUAUUAAUUUGAACGGUACAUCAUUCACCGAAUAAAUUACAGAAGAGCGUUGUUGAGGUACUAUUUCUUUCCGUCUAUCUUUCACACAAAAAGAAACACACACAAUUGGCACAUACAUUGAUUAAUGUCUAAAAUCUCAGCAUUCCUUGAAAUCAAUAUGUAUAUAGGCAAUAAUUAUUAUUAUUAUUAUUAUAUUUAAAAAAACAAAUAUCAUCUUUAAUAAUAUUUUUUAUUUUUCUUAUUUGAUCUAAAAAAUUAAAUAUUAUCUUUAAUAAUAUUUUUUUAUUAAAUAUUUAAAGUCUGAUUGGUUUUAUUUUUUAUUUCUUGAUUUUAUGAUAAUAUAUUUAUACAGUUAAUGUGCAACGGUCGUCACGGGUAUUCUUUCUUUUGGGAUGUCGCCGGGAGUUUAAUUUCCGAGUGUAAAAAUUAUGUAUAAAUUUCUAUUCUUUCCUUUCAUCCAUUACUUGUCCUCUAUGAAGAUUCUAUGUAUGAAAUCUCGGAAUCUUUUCGAGUAUAACUUGGGAUCAACAGCUGAGAUAGACGUGGGAUCCACUUGUAAGGACUUUUAUGCAUGCUCUAGCUUUUUGCUGAUAUCAUAAUCCUGGAGGAUGUCAAUGAUACCAAAGUGAAGAACUACAUCGAAGAUCUCAUUACCAUUAUGUGAAGGUGUUGAAUUGUUACUUCCACCCCCCAUGCACUGAUCCAUUUCAGUAGUCCUCAUUACACUCUCGGCUCUUGCAGGCACAUUUGCCCCCAGCCGGAUGAAUGGCCCCCUGGAACAGAUUUCACAUGAGUACUACAGAUAAAAUCUAGACAUUGCAUCACAUAAUCACCAAAAUUCAAAGUAACAAAACGAAGAACAAAAUGUGAUAACAAUGACAAUGAUCACUCAACCACAGCCGAAUCUUACGCUUUGAAGACACUUUUCAUCAUUAAUUUUCCUUUUCACAUUGAUUUUCAAUGUUCCGGGCAGAUAAAAUAGCAUUGAUUUACAACCAUGGUUUUAAGGCAUCAUUAUUGGCAAAAACAUUGUAGGAUCAUGCACAUUUAACUAGUUGUUAAUUGAUUUUCAACCAGAUAAAAUAGCAUUGAUUUUCAAUGUUCCUUUAUCCUUGUAGUCUAAGAAAAUAUUAUUUAAUUCUUUUGUUUUCAUAUUCAUCUAUGAUUUAAUGUGUUGAUUGAAAUUGACAAUUGAGUUGUUAGUAAUAGCAAAAGGCAUGUACAAUCAUGCACAUUUAACUUUCUUUUUAAAUUUAAAAGUUCUAUUGAAUUUGAUGGUUUUUUAGGAUACAAAAGACUUGAAUUGACGUGAGAGUACAAGAUCAUUUUACGUGGAGAUGCUUGGAGUUGCUCCAAAUCAGUACAGUACUUCUACCUGACAUGUUGAUAUGUAUUUGUUGGCUUGAAGAUCAUUUUCCAAGUUUGGAAGUUUUAUUGAAUUCUCUUUCAAAUCUUUUCCAUCCGCUUUUAUGUUGGACAACCUAGUUGUUAAUUAUUUUCCAUGAUGUAAUUUAUAUUUUCAAGUGUUGAUCGAAAUUGACAACCUAGUUUUAUUUAAUUAAUGUGUUGAUUGAAAUUAAGAAUUAAAGGUUUAAUUAAAUGAAAUACAGCUUUAAAGAACACAUCAACUACAUUUCAUAUGCUCAACUCUCAGCAAAUUGAAAUUUCAAGGCUAUUUGAAUCUUGAAAACACAAUCUCAAUAAUCUUAAUGUGAUGAGUGAUUUCUUUUCUAUUUUUUUUUCUUUGGAUCAAAAGGGUCUUAUUGAAUUAUUAUUUGUUAGGUAACUAAGAUUUAUUGAUGUUAAAAAUAGCACUAAGUUUUUGGCAUGACAAUUGGUGAGAAGCAAAAGCAACAGCAAUCCAUCAGGUUCAUCACCAUCCUAUCGCUUUGCCGUACUGUUUAUCUUCUUGGCAUUGUUCAAAGGAACGCAAAAGACAUUCCAAGUGUGAAAGUGUGUGUGAAAGUGUAUUAUUGUCAUAAAGUUUUUCAAACUUCCAAUAUAGAGAGUGAAAUAAAGAGCAAAAGGAAACAUCUUUCUUGUUCCCUUCCCCUUCUUUACAUGGCUUACUCAAUGAAAAAGCAAUUAAACACCCCAUUUGAUUUUCAAUAAGUAUGAGAAUGCGAAAGAGAGAGGCCAAGGGGUUCCUUGAAUAUUUUCUUCUUUUUUAUCUCGCUCACUGGGGCAAACCAUCUUUUUCAAAAUUUUGAAUAUUAGCAUGCCAUCAAAAAGAAUUUUGUUCAAUCCCAAUCCCACAUUGUCUGUAGAAGUAUUUACUUUUGACUGUACACUUUGUUAUUUUCCAAUCCCUCCCCAGUUCUGCAACCAUUUCUCUACUUUCUAUGCUCUUGGCUUGCUAAAAACUUUUAUCCUUGAUUGUAGUUAGAAAUAAAUUGGUUUUCUAGGAAGAGAUUAUUGAUUGGGAUAUAAUAUUUAAGUUGGUUCUUCAUCAUUUAAUGUUAUAAUUUAAAAUAAUUGAUGAAAAUUACUGUACACAAAAAAGUUGUGAGAACAUCCUUAAUUAGUCUAAUAAGUAAAGUGUUGUUAGUUUUGACUAUAAGAUCUUGUUAUGUAUUAUUGCAUAGUUUUUACUAUUUUUUCGGUAUUUUUUCUUUUUUAUAUACAACUUUUAUUUUUCUUGCCAGUUUGUCAUGGCACCAACACCAAUUAAUAAUAAAUCUUAGACUAUUAUUAAAUAAAGAAAAAACAUAAACAUGGUUAAAAUACCAAACUUGAAUUGCUCAAACCUAAAGAAACCCUAUGACAAUAAUCUAAUUUAGAAAAUAAUUAAUUUAUCCUUGUAGUCCAAGAAAAUAGUAUUUAAUUCUUAUGUUUUCAUAUUCAUAUAUGAUUUAAUGUGUUGAUUGAAAUUGUCAAUGGAGUUUACUCACAUAUUGUUAUAUUGAUUUUGAGUUCAAAUAGAUGUUUAAAAAGAGAGUUUUUUCAUGAAUGCAACCCUUCAUGUAGUCCAAGAAAAUUAGAAGAAUUAAUAAGUUUGCGGACUUAAUUAAACUUUGAGUUAAUUAAUCAAAUAAAUUCAGGGAUUUAAUUAAAAUUAACCUAAGGGCACAAUUAGAAAUCAAUUAUUACUGAUUAGGAUCCCAAUUGUUGAGAUUAAAUUGAUUAGGGGUCAAAGUGAAUAUUUCCAUUCCUGUCGAAAUGACACCGUGGUUGGGGAACAGUCGUGUAUCUUCUUCAUUCCGAUUCAACAGGGAAGCUGGAAAAUCGGCAGUAAAACCGACCCAAUCGUGACCACGUUCUCUGCCCACAAUCCCGUUCGUGGAGGGAUAACAGUCCUGCAAAGCCAGGACUGGUUUGAGGGGCAAGCUCUUAGGGGCCUUAUAAAAGGCAGAGUAGAGCAGAAAAAGGGAGGGGAAGAACACCGGGAAAAGACCAGAGAGCCGAAAAAUCAACCCAGAAAAACAGAGUUGAAAAAAAAAAGGGCAGAGAAAACAGAGCACAAAUCCAAAUACAGAGAGAAAGAGAGAACAAGAGGGCAGGACACAGUGAGGAGAAUUAUCCUUGAAAUUGUCUUCGGACCUGCAAACAAAGAAAAACCCGGAUUCAGCCAAAGAACACUCACAACAAGCCGGAAUCUUCUUUGUAGCUGUCACACCCGGACAUCGCGGCGACCAAUUAAAAAUUAUUAAAUCUUUGGAAAAGAACGGAUUUCUGGCAUCCUGUUCUUUAAUGGGGAAUGGUCUUUGUUUAAGGAGUCGCCACCUAGUAUUAUGGUCACUAGGAACACUAACUGGUCAACAGAGAUUCUAUGGUUCGAGACUGGUUACGUAAAAGGGAAGAUAUUAUCACCCCUUAAACGUCCUGCCUAAGGCAGGCUGCAUUGCUAGUUUCGUCUUAAAUUGCUAAAUGUUUAUUACUUUAUGCUAUGAAAAUUUGCUUAUAAUAUUCCUGACUCUGGCGCCAGUGAAUAUUCAACUAUGAAUAUUUCCAACUCUGGCGUUGGUAAAUAUUACGUAGCUAUAAAAUAAAUUAGAUCAAUAUUUUAUUUUAUUCCCGACUCUGGCGCCAGUGAAUAAAUAAAUAAUAAUAAAUUUAUUUUUUACAAAUGCAAAUAUUUUUUAUAUUUCUAGCUAAAUAAAAUAAAAUACAAUGAAUAAAAAUAAUAUAAAUUUAAACCGGUAUUUUUAUUCCUGACUCUGACGUCAGUGAAUAAACCAAUAAAUUUACAUUAUUUUUAUUCAUGCAUACACAUUUUUAUUUUUUUAUUUUUUCUGUUUUUUUAUAUAUGUUUAUUUUUUUUUUUUUAAAGGACUAAGCUUCACACGUGUAUGCAAAAGUAGUGAAUUAAAUUUGCCUAUGUACAGUACCCAUGCCCGACACCCCACGUGAAUAAAAAAAAAAAGAAAAAAAAAAAAAAGAAUUGCAAAGCAAAGGGAAAUGAAGAACUUACCUGUGCAGGAGGCGAAGUCGAAGACGGUGGCGAAGGUGUGCUGAAUUGCCAAAGCUACCUUCUCUCCUUCUCUGUUUUUAUUCUUCGUCCGCUUCUCCUCUGGUUUUGCUUUUCUUUGCUUUGAUUGCUUCUCUUAUUCUUCCUGUCUCCCCCCUGUGUUUGCUUGUUCUCAGUUCGCUUGUGUUUUCUUUUUUAUAUGUUGUUCAGGGAAUGGAGGAGCUGGUGUAAGUGGAGACAAAGCAGCUGAUGCCUGAGAGGGCGUUGUACUGCUGCUGGAGCUGGAAGAGGCGCGCGUUGCUGGUUGCUGAUGCAUGCUCACGAUGCAUGGAAGUGGCUGAGUUGCUACUAAUCUUGACGAUACUGGUUUCGUCCGCUGUAAAAGUUUUCGUGCCCCUGCAUCCGAUCAAAGCUUGUGCUUUUCCAAGCAAAAGCCAUGGUCCCUUGAAACUCAGCAGAUUUUCGGAGCAAGGAGGAUCGCAUGCCAAUGUAGUUCAUGGUUCUGGUUUAGAGGCAGACGUGGCGGAGAUUAAUGGUGAUUGGGACCACAGCCUAGAAGGUGACCGGGAGGAAGAUGAUCUCAAGCCUUUAUUUGCUUUUUUUUUUUUUGUGAGGAGUUUGCAGAUCCCGGGGGUUGAGAAUGAAGAAUGAAAAAUCAAUUUGAUGGGGAAGAGAUUGAGGCCAGGCAAGAAGGGAGGAAAAGGCUGGGGGGAGGGGGAAGCGACGGCUAGUCUAGGACUCGGCCGCGCCCUCCUUUUUUUUUUUAAAUGUCUUUUGUUUCUUUUCUUUUUUUAUAGGUUUUUGGUAAUGGUCUUCUCUUGGGUUUUUUUUUUUGUGUCGUUUAGGGUUCCUCUCUAAUCAUCCCCUCUCCUUUUCUUUCCCCUGAGAUCUGUAUUUAUAGUGCCAGAGUCCCUUCGCUUGUGAGAAACCAAGUUUCAAUCAAACUCAUUCUUUUUUUUGAAGUUUGAAUUUUAUUAAGAAUCAAAUUUGAAAGCGGAUAACUAUCAUUAUCUUAAAGACAAGGAUUAUCUCGAAGAUAAAGAUUAUCUUGAAGAUAGGGAUUAUCUUGAAGAUAAAGAUAGAAUGAUAAAAGCACAUUGUAGUCCUUAAUUUUCACGGAAGUUGACAAAUCACACUUUUCAUUGAAAUAAAUCUCUGAUCUUUUAAUUUUUCAUUUUAAACCCUGUAAAAAUUAAAUUAAAAAUCAAAGGGCCAAAAUUGGGUUAUGACAGUAGCUUUAGAAGUUACAGAGAAAUCAAGAAGGAAAGCACAGACAAGUGGUCACAGAAGGAAAACCAGAGGAGCAUUAGGCGAGAAUCAUCAAGCAGCGCUGCAAGCAUCUUCGGUCUCCAGAAGCAGGUAUGACUUCGUCCCCUUUGCAUCUUCAUUUCAAAAAGUGAUUCUGUGUUACAAGAACACUGUGUGAAGGUAAUUUAAUUACCUUCACUAGUGUUCGGGCACGCGUGAACAAGUCACGCGUGCCUUUAGUUUUUGCCCAGCCGGGUCACUGGCUUGGGCCAGUGACCGGGCUGGGCUGGCUAGGCCCAGCCCAGCCCCAAAAUUUUUUUGCUGGGCUGGGCCCACCCCACCCAGUUCAAAAAAUAAUAAAAAUAAAAAAUAUGUAUGUAUAGAUAAAAAAUAAUGUAAAUUUAUUGGUUUAUUCACUGACGCCAGAGUCAGGAAUAAAAUACCAGUUUAAAUUUAUAUUAUUUUUAUUCGUUGUAUUUUAUUUUAUUUAGAUGAAUAAAAAUAAUGUAAAUUUAUUGGUUUAUUCACUGACGCCAGAGUCAGGAAUAAAAAUACCGGUUUAAAUUUAUAUUUUUUUUUAUUUGUUGUAUUUUAUUUUAUUUAGCUAGAAAAAAAUCAAAAAAAAUGUGCAUGCGUAAAAAAUAAAUUUAUUUUUGUUUAUUUAUCACUAGCACUAGAGUCAGGAAAAUAAAAAAAUAUUAAUCUAAUUUAUUUUAUAGCUACGUGAUAUUUACCAACGCCAGAGUUAGAAGUAUCCGUAGUUUAAUAUUCACUGGCGCCAGAGUCGGGAAUAUUAUAAGUAAAUUAUCAUAUCGUAAACUAAUAAACAUUUAGCAAUUCAAGACGAAACUAGCAAUGCAGCCUGCCUCAGACAGGACGUUUAAGGGGUGAUAAUAUCUUCCCUUUUACGUAACCAGUCCCGAACCAUAGAAUCUCUGUUGACCAGUUAGGGUUCCUAGUGACCAUAAUACUAGGUGGCGACUCCUUAAACAAAAAUCAUUCACCAUCAAAGAAUAGGAUGCUAGAAAUCCAUUCUUUUCUAAUUUUAAUUUUUUAAGACCGCCGCGAUGUCGGGUGUGACAAGGAGUGAUUUCUUUUCUAUUAUUUUUUUUCUUUGGAUCAAAAGGGUCUUAUUGAAUUAUUAUUUGUUAGGUAACUAAGAUUUGUUGAUGUGAAAAAUUUGGCAUGGCCAUCGGUGAGAAUCAAAAGCAGCAGCAAUCCAUCUGUGAAGCCGUACACCACAUCAGGGCCCCAACAUUUAGACUUUUGAUGGCAACCAAAGCUAAAUUUAAAAACAGGACCAUCUGAGAAGCCGGCAUACAACAACAGGUCAAAGAUCCAAUUUCCAAAAAUAAACCAUGUAUCAUGUAGUUUAACAUCUCUAAGCAUGAUUUUUGCAAUAAUCAUCUAUGCUUUACCAUUCAUAUCUUUCACCACAGUUCUCUGUCACCACUUCACAUGCACACAUUCCAAAAAAGAGAUAGCAUGGAAAAAUGUCUUUGCUUGCCGUAAAAAAUACAAGGGCUAAAACCUAACAUAAGGAAAAUAGAUUGGGAAAAGGAAAGCAGAACCAAAGCAAGGCACUAACAAUUAGGAGGGGCAAAAACAUGAAUUCUGAAAAGGAAAAUACAUUCCGGCCUUCCAUGACCCAAUCCAUAUUGGGCAGCAAAUGAUAACCCCGCAUCGAUGUUUCCUCGUGAUGUGAAUUUCUUUUUUCUGAUACAGAAACACAAAACCAAAUUACCUCAAGGUCUAUUGUUGUUGUAAAUUUUUAAGGUAGCAGAAUUACAGGAUAAAAGUAAUUUACCAAAAUGCUUAUGGAUAAUUGGCUCUUCCAUCCAGCAUUAAUUCUAUUAUCAAUUAUAGUUCAGUCACUGGUUGUAGAUAAAUUUUUUUAAGAUAUUAUCAAGUUUUAUUUUUAUCAUUAAAAUUUAGAAUUAAUUCUAUUACGUAUUUAAAUGUGUUUAGUUACCUUGUAAACCGUAUGGUAGAGUCCCUCAAAUAUUCUGGCCACAGCAAAUUGUAUGGGGCUUGCAACCACUAUAUUUUAUGCCAAGCUAAUAAUAUUUUUUUUUCUAAAUUAAAGAUUAAUAUUUUUUGUUCGCAUCAAAUAAUUAAAAAUGAGAAUUUCAGAGCAGAGGGUUUAAGAAAUAUUAAAAGAGAAGGUUUUACGUAAUUAUUAUAUAAUUGAAAUUGUCACUAAUCUCCUUUGUUCAUUUUCUUUUUCUAUUACCCCUUCCAAUCAGCAUGCACGAAACUUUAUGUCACUCAAAUGAUACAAAUGCUUUCACCGUUUUAUGCUGAUUGUUUAUUAUUAUUUUUUUUUUUUUAAUGAAAGUGAUUGUUCAGGCCAGUUUAUAUGUAUUUUGAAGUUAACGAUCAUAUAAACUUCCAGUGACCUUGAAGUUUGUAGGACUCGAACUGAUAAUUUCUAAAAAGUAAACUUAAAGUCUAAUUAGUUGAGUUAUACCUUUCAGAAUUACAAAAUUACAUUGCUUGUUAAAUUAAUAAAGUUAUUAGUUGCUAUAAAGUAAGAGAUAAGAAAGUAUCUAGGAAUAUGGUAAAUAUUGUGUUUUAAAAUAUAUUAAAAUAAUAUUUUUUUAUUUUUAAAAUUUAUUUUUAAUAUUAUUACAUCAAAACUAUAUAAAAUUUUUUUCAGAAUAUCAAUUCAACCGUACUCCAAAGAACACUCAUACUCCAAUAUCAGCAACCACCACGAAAGUUACCACUCAAUAAUUUAUUCUUUGACAAUUAUUGCAUUGCUAAUAAUUUGCAAGGAAACAUACUUUCUAACCGAUACUCAAUCGAUCUGCACCUACCACGAAAUUACCAAUAAGAGUCUGUUUGAUAUUUUUCCAACUUUUACUAUUUUACUUCAAAGUUUCAAUAAUUGUUUUUUCAUUACAUAUUCUUUCCAACGUGUAAUAAUUUGGAACCACUCGCAAUAAAUAAAGCCAGCAAAGCCAGAUGUGUUUGUCUAUAUAUACAUGAACUGCUGAUUCGAUUUGAACACCCCAUUUCUCCGAUUCAAUAACUUCAGUUGCAAAACUUCUCUCUCCGAUUGCUGCAAUUUCAAAGCUAACUCUUUAUUAUACAGAGGUAUAUAUGGCUAACUCUUCUUUGCUUCUUUCUCGUUUUAAUUUCAUGUCUUUACCAAGAAUAAUAAUGUGAAAGCUUUGCUUGUUUCAUGUUUAACUUCAGUUGCUAUUGUCUUAUGCUCUCUCAUUAUUAAGCUUAAAUUGCUGUAUUAUCUUCGAUGAUCACUUCACAUGUAUCAGCAAUUGCUAAUUGAUUGUUCCUUAAAUUCUGCAGCUGAAAUGACAGAGCCACAGUCUUCUCAUUCUAGACCAGAAGGGGCCUAUGAUGUCUUCCUGAGUUUUAGAGGAGAAGAUACCCGCAAGACAUUUGUAGAUCAUCUAUAUACUGCCUUAGUCCAAGCAGGAAUCCACACUUUUCGAGAUGAUGAUGAACUUCCUAGAGGAGAAGAAAUCUCCGAGCAUCUUCUCGAGGCAAUUCGAGAAUCAAAGAUAUCCAUAGUUGUCUUCUCAAAAGGAUAUGCUUCUUCUAGAUGGUGUCUCAAUGAACUUGUAGAGAUUCUGAAGUGCAAAAGGAAGAAAACCGGUCAGAUUGUUCUUCCUAUAUUCUAUGACAUUGAUCCUUCAGAUGUGAGAAAACAGACUGGCAGUUUUGCAGAGGCAUUUGAUAAGCAUGAAGAAGAGCGUUUUGAAGAGAAGUUGGUGAAGGAGUGGAGAAAAGCUCUUGAGGAUGCCGGAAACCUAUCUGGAUGGAGUCUCAAUGAUAUGGCAAAUGGGUAUUCCUUCUCUCUCUAAGAUUCACUUGCACACGUUUAUGGAGUAAUUUUACAUUACAUUUUUCAAUGUGAAGUAAUAAAAUAUUUCUUUUUAACAUACUUAAUUGACUUUCUAUCGAUGACUUGCCUUUUUUCUGUGAGCAGGCAUGAAGCAAAAUUUAUCAAAGGGAUAAUCAAGGAUGUGUUGAAUAAAUUACGUCGCGAGUGCUUAUAUGUUCCUGAGCACCUGGUAGGUAUGGAUCUUGCUCACGAUAUUUAUGACUUUCUAAGUACUGCAACAGAUGAUGUACGCAUUGUGGGCAUACAUGGGAUGCCAGGAAUAGGAAAGACAACUAUAGCAAAAGUUGUAUUUAAUCAACUCUGCAAUGGACUCGAUGGAAGCUGUUUUCUUUCGGAUAUCAAUGAAACAUCAAAACAAUUCAAUGGUCUGGCUCUUUUACAAAAGCAACUUCUUCAUGAUAUUUUAAAACAAGAUGUUGCUAACAUCAAUUGUGUCGAUAGAGGAAAGGUUAUGAUCAAAGAUCGACUUUGUCGCAAAAGAGUUCUUGUUGUUGCCGACGAUGUGGCUCAUCUGGACCAGCUAAAUGCUUUGAUGGGAGAGCGAAGUUGGUUUGGUCCCGGAAGUAGAGUAAUUAUUACAACAAGAGAUUCAAGUUUACUUCGUAAAGCAGAUCUAACAUAUGAGAUUGAAGAAUUGGAACCAGACGAGUCCCUUCAGCUUUUCAGCUGGCAUGCCUUUAAGGACACCAAGCCAGCAGAAGAUUAUAUUGAGCUUUCGAAGAAAGCUGUUGAUUUCUGUGGAGGACUUCCUUUAGCUCUUCAGGUUAUAGGAGCUCUUCUGUACAGGGAAAACAAUGAUAAAUGGGAAGGUGAAAUUGACAACUUGAGCAGAAUUCCAAACCAAGAUAUUCAAGGAAAGCUUCUAAUAAGUUUUGACGCACUUGAUGGUGAACUACAAAAUGCAUUCCUUGAUAUUGCAUUCUUCUUUAUUGGUAAAGAGAAAGAAUACGUCGCAAAAUUGCUAGGAGCCUGUUGCCGUUACAAUCCAGAAGUUUUGGAGAAACUCCGUGAAAGGUCUCUGAUUGAAAUAUUGGAAGAGACGGUAACCAUGCAUGAUCUAUUACGAGAGAUGGGAAGGGAGGUCGUUUUUAAAGCAAAAGGAUGCAUGGAAUGUACUUCAGAAAAACAUUAUGGAAUGUACUUCAGCAGCAGAAGGUACGAGCUCAAUGCAUACACAUAGCCAUGCGUAUUUUCUAGUCAAACUUAUUACAAAUAAUCAUAUAAAAGUUUUAUUGUUUUUUUUUUUCAGGGUACGGAUGUUGUAGAGGGUCUUGCACUGGAUAUGAGAGCAUCAGAAGCUAAAUCACUAAGCACAGUAUCAUUUGCAAAAAUGAAACGUUUAAAUUUACUCCAAAUCAAUGGAGCACAUCUCACCGGAUCCUUCAAACUGCUUUCUAAAGAGUUGAUGUGGAUUUGUUGGCAUGAAUGUCCUUUGAAAUAUUUGCCAUCUGAUUUUACCUUGGACAAUCUAGCUGUUCUUCAUAUGCAGUACAGUAACCUCAAAGAACUAUGGAAGGGAAAAAAGGUACGAAACAUUUUACAAUCCCCAACAUUUCUCCAGUAUGUAAUUUAUAUUUACAUGUUAUGACUUUCUAUGAUUAAUUUUCAUUAUUUUUCUCUCUAUUAUAACAGAUUCUUGACAAGCUUAAAAUCCUUAAUCUCAAUCAUUCUCAGAACCUUAUUAAAACACCAGACUUGCAUAGUUCAAGUCUAGAGAAACUAAUUCUGAAAGGUUGCUUGAGUUUAGUUGAGGUGCAUCAAUCAAUUGAAAAUUUGACGAGCCUCGUUUUCUUGAAUAUGAAGGGAUGUUGGAGGCUGAAGAAUCUCCCUGAAAGCAUUGGCAAUCUAAAGUCUCUUGAAACUCUGAAUAUUUCUGGGUGUUCACAACUUGAGAAAUUGCCAGAACGCAUGGGUGAUAUGGAAUCCUUAACUGAGUUGCUAGCCAAUGGGAUUGAAAAUGAGCAAUUUCUCUCUUCAAUUGGACAAUUAAAGCAUGUCAGAAGGUUAUCAUUGUGUGGAUACAGUUCGGCUCCACCAAGUUGUUCUUUGAUUUUAGCAGGUGCUUCGAAUUUGAAACGGUUGCUGCCAACAUCUUUCACUGAAUGGAUAUCAGUGAAACGUCUCGAGCUUUUUAAUGGUGGUUUGACUGAUCGCGCAACUAACUGUGUUGAUUUUAGUGGUUUGUCUGCUCUAGAAUUUUUGGAUCUAAGAGGAAACAAAUUCUCUAGCGUGCCUUCUGGGAUCGGCUUCCUUCCCAAGCUAGAUGUCUUGUUUCUUCACGGAUGCGAACAUAUUGUAUCAAUCCUAGAUCUUCCCUCAAGUUUAAGUUGUUUCAGUGCACCUUAUUGCAAAUCAUUGGAAAGAGUAAGAUUACCAAUCGAGCCAAAAAAAAAUCUAUAUAUAAAUCUACAGGAAAGUCAUUCGUUAGAAAAGAUUCAGGGCAUUGAAGAUCUAAGUAAUGGUGGCUGGAUAAUGUGGGUUGAUGACAGCAGUCAUUCACCAAAUAAAUUAUCGAAAAAUGUUUUUGAGGUACUAUUUCUUUAAGUUUCUCUUUCGCACAAAAAUAAACACACACAAUUGGCACAUACAUUGGUUAAUGUCUAAAUUCGCAACAUUUCUUAAAAUCAAUAUGUAUACAGGCAAUAAUCAUUAUUAUUAUUAUUAUUAUUAUUAUUAUUAUAUUUUAGAAAAUAAAUAUCAUCUCUAAUAAUAUUUUUUAUUUUUCUUAUUUAAUCUAAAAAAUUAAAUAUUAUAUUUAAUAAUAUUUUUUAUUAAAUAUUUAAAGUCUGAUUGGUUUUAUUUUUUAUUUCUUGAUUUUAUGAUAAUAUAUUUGUACAGACAAUGUUUAACGGUCGUCACCGGUAUUCCUGGUAAGAUGCCAAACUGGUUGAGCUACAGGGGAGAAGGAUGCUCAUUGUCAUUCCAUAUACCUCCAGUCUUCCAAGGCUUAGUUCUUUGGUUUGUCUGUCCAUAUACCUCAUUGCUCCUUCUCACCAUAUGCUGUAAAGAAAUAAUUCUUAGAUGGUCAUCAUAAGUAGGAUGAAUUACAUCUUAAAACUCCAUCACCGAAACAACGUGGCAAAAAUAAUCAAAGGAAAAGGUGGAUGAAUUGUUUCACGUGUCAAAAUAGAUUUAUACCAUGAUUUUGAAUUCAAGUGCUAAUUGAUAUUCAGCUUAGGUGAUAUCAUGUGAAGCAAUUAAUUCGUCCACUUUUUGUUAUGCAGAUCUUUCUCUCUCCAAAUCCAAUCUUACUAAAUAUAUAUAUAUAUAUAUAGUAAUUAGGAGAUCAAAUCUUAUCCUCUCAAUACUUAUCAUUCAACUAAUUAAUAACUUUAUUUAGCAUAAAUCCAUUAAUAAACUCACGAAAAGAACCUAACAUCCUCCUGAAUUCCUUAGCCGACACUCUCGUACACUGCUGAAUCAUUGAAAAAAUCAGUAGAAGAUCUGAAGUUAGCAUCUAUAACAGUGCCUUAGAAUUUAGAAAGAGAAAGGUUUUUUCUUUACUAUAUAUUCCAUUAUAUAAAGCAACUAAAAAAAGGUGGGUGUUAACUAUACAUUCCAAUGUUCAUCCUCUCACAAAAGUUUAUUUCUCCUUUAGGAAGUCCUUGAAAUUUUUAUUGUUUUAUAAUUUGGUUGCUGAACUUUUUUUCUUUUUCAAUUAGUCCUUUCAAGUCGCAUUAUUAUUAUUAGGAUAAGAAAUAAAAGCAAUGGUAUUCAAUUGUUUGAAUGUAAACGAAUAUCACCAAAAACUGAGGGAUGGAUAAGAUACAUAAGUAGAAGUGAAAUGGCAAUGGAAGAUUACUGUGGAGAUGACGAAUUGGAACUAUACAUUUCUUCAGUGCCAACAGUGGAUAAGAUAUAUUAAAUAUUUAAGGCUUUUCGGUAAGAAUACAUAUUUUCUUUAGUUAUUUAUAUUUUAUUCUAUUUAAUUUAAGAGAUUAAAUAUCAUCUUUAAUUAUUUUAUUUUUCUUAUUUAAUCUAAUAAAUUAAAUAUUAUCUUUAAUAAUAGUUUUUAUUAAAUAAUUAGAGUCUGAUUGGUUUUAUUUUUACUUCUCGAUUUUAUGAUAAAAUGUUUCUUAAUUAAUUUAAAAAAUAAAUAUUAUCUUUAAUAAUUAGAUCUAUUGAAUAUCACUUAAAAAAUAAAUUGUAACUUUAAUAAUUAUUUUUUGAAAAACAAAAAGCCAACAAUCACUAACAUAUUUAUUAAAAUCACUUUAGUUUAUUUAGAAAAUAUUGAAAAUUGAUUUUUGUUUUUUUACAUUAAAAUAAAAAAAUUGAAUAAUGUUUUUAUAUUUUAUUUCAAACUCGAUAUUUUAAAACAAAAAUGAAAAAGAUGUGAUAUUAACCUUUUUUUAUUAUAAAGUAAGUUUUUUAAUUAAAAGUAAUAGGAAUUUGUUCGUAAUAACAAAAUGCAUGUACAAUCAUGCGCAUUUAACUUUCUUUUCAAAUUUGAAAGUUCUAAUGAAUUUGAUGGUUUUUUAGGGUGCAAAAGACUUUGAUUGACGUGAGAGUACAAGAUCAUUUUUCAUAGAGAUACUUGAAGUUGCUCCAAAUCAGUACGAUACUUCCAUCUGACAUAUUGAUAUGUAUUUGUUGGCUUGAAGAUCAUUUUCCAAGCUUGGAAGUUUUAUAAAUUGAGCGCUCUUUGUAAUCUUUUCCAUGAUGUAAUUUAUAUUUUCAAGUUACAAAUUUUGAUGAAUAUUGUUUCAUUUUUUUCCUCACUUCAAAAGAU